This is a non-coding RNA of Podarcis lilfordi (Lilford's wall lizard), 52173 nucleotides long. NCBI's taxonomy places the organism in Eukaryota, Metazoa, Chordata, Lepidosauria, Squamata, Lacertidae. The record is from the annotation of a GenBank genome assembly.
GCUGGGACCCCGAUCUUCGACGCACUUAACCACGAGGAAAGCUUUCAGUGGGACUGACUUCCUCGUAAGUGUGUCUCGGAUAGGUAUACUUAUUUGGAGGCGAAUUUGGCAGAUGAGAGGGGGCUUCUUUCCACGUUCCUUUAGGGCGCUGAGUGUCAAGCUAACAUAGCAUUUGUGCUGGAAGAAAACAGCUAGGUGUGUAUGCUUCGGAUUUUUUUUGCAGCCGGGAAACGUUUGUCUGUCUAUCAGCUUUGCUUGGAAGGCUUGUUAAAGAGAUAACUAUUUUCUAGAAAGGACGGUGUCCGCAGUUUCUGGGCGCGCCUGAAGGGACCUAAUCCUAAUGGAAGGAAAUUUGGCUUCAUCAGCCUAAGGUGCAAUGAGCUACAUUUUCUACCUUAGCACACACACACACACACACACACACACACACCAGAAGUCAUGGUUUUAGUUGGAUCCCUUCCUCCAACCAGACUUUCCUGAUUGUCGACACUUUUAUCUGGGAAGUAAGUUUCAUGAUGUCUGUGAGGCCUGUUUCUAAGGAGUUAUGUGGGUCCUUUCCAUGUUUCCGCUUUCGGGGUGCUAGCUAGGUUUAAAAUUUGUUCACUUGGCUCUCCCCGUGGUCAAACGAGCUGCUCUCUUUUGCUGUCGCUAUCCCGGGGGGAGGGCUCAGAUCCGUCGUUUUCUUGAGAUCUAACGCUUUGUGAGGCCGCUUGGUUUCCCUUUGGUAACGUCACCAGGAAGGUCUUUCCAUUUGGAUAAUUUUCUUCUGUCUGUAAACGUUUCGAGCUCUCUAGGCUAGCCCAGAAUUUUGCUGAGUCGGGAUGUCGGAGGGUCACCCUUCUUUGUGUGAAGACGUGUCUUUGAAACCAUAAUGAAAGGAUUCAGAAGUACGGACACCUUGAUGGGACCUGUGGAAGCUGGGAGGCGUCGCGGGGGGACGGUGGCUGGGAUGGUGGGGCUGUAACACCUCAGAGGAGUAACUGAGGUCUGAGACCUUCUGUAAUUGUUAGCGACCUGCUAACCGGCUUACUCCAAGACUCUUCCUAAUCCGAGCUUUGGAUCGGAUUUCUGCUUUUGUUUGUUAGCUAGAAGACACCCCCAUCCUUAUUUUUGGCCUUUCCCUUUGAAUGGGGCAGUACUGUUGCGAGUAUAAGAAUGGUUAAAGAGACAGGGACAACUCCUAACCCACUCCCCACCCAACAACUCAAGUUAAACAACCCAAGCCGCUUUUGUAGCUUUCUCUGUCGGCCGCCUGUUUUUAGUUUUUUUUUCCUGAAUGAGGAUGAUGAAAAAUUAUUUUCCCAUGGGGGUGGGUGGAUAUGGAGUUCACUAUUAGUGCUGAGAUCCGUUUCCCUUACAAGUGGAUGGGCAAUUUUGCAAUACUUGGGCACGAUCCAGCCACAAUCAGGCAGCAAUCCUGUACCUACUUUCCUGGCAGUAAAGGACACUGAACUCGAUGGGAAUUCCUUCUCGGUAGACGCGGAUAGGAUUAUUUUCUUUGGAUUUGCACUGAAAUCUGUAGGUGGAUCCAAAACUUGUUACCCGAGAGGGAAGGUCCUCUGGCUUCAGUGCGAUUCCUUAGUAAGUAUGUGUAGUUUGGCAACCUCAAAAGUAGUCAACAUUGCCCCGAUGGUGUCUUCAACGCGGACCAAAUGCAGCUGCGUGGAUCUGGUUUCCAACAGUUCUUCGUUUACUGUUUCUGUAUGUUGAUUUCGAGGUUACUAGUGGAUGAGAAAACUUCUCACCCGCCCACUCCAUAGCAGCUUAGGCCACCAGUCUCUAGGAAAGACGUGAAACUGAUUUUAAGGAAAUUUAGUUGCAUUUCUCAAGCUGAAUGAAUGACUGCAGAAUUUCUGAAGUGGUUUGGGGUAAAGAAAGCCAAGCGAAAAGACGUCGAAACCUUCCGCACCUUUGAAAGCAUAACCCUCAUCAUAGUAAAAUAAGGCCCUAAUUCGACUUUCGGGUAGAGUCUGGUAGUUUCACAGUACUUCGGUCGAAACAGAAAGCUGUUCAGAAUAAUCAGAGUUACUCAUUUCAUGGAAUUUUCAAACUAGUACCAGAAGCGCCUAGCAUUUCCGCCGUAAGCGCUUCGGGUGCAUAGAGUUUCAGACAGAUCUCUCUCUCUCUGUCCCUCCAUCUUUCUCCCAGCUUUAAGAAAAGGGUUUGGAACUUUGGAACCAUAUUGGUCAAUUUCUUGUUGCGAUGACUGGCGUGUUUUGGGAAGGACUACUCAGGUGCAGCUUAAAUGCAGAGGUAUCACUGAAAUCGAAAGAAAGUUUUCCUGUCUGCCUUCCCAUAUUAUACCGAUAUUUAUGUAAUAUAGUUAUAAAUAUGAAUUUUGGACGGGCGAUAAAGCAAAGGGCUAGUUUAACCAUUUGCCAAGCGAUCUGGAGACUUCAAUCUUAUGCACACCGACUUGGGGGCCGAAUUCCGUGGGUUCUACGUGGGCCCAGUGGGUUUCACUCGCCCACUAAAGUCAGUAAGACUUGGAUUAAUUUUGUCUGCAUGGUGCCCGAAAUCAGGUGUGUUAAACUCUGUCGAAGUUCCAGUGGUGAAUAAGAAGUCGGAACCUCGCCUGGAUAGAAAAUAUCUUGUUUCGAUUUCAAACCGUGUAAAACAACAAGCUUCCUCAUAUGAAGGGAAGCUAUGCAGCUGUAGGUUUUUAAGUGGUAUUAGCUUUGGAAUAGUCCAUCGUAACUUUAUUAUAAACUUUCGCUCUUUCCCCCUUCCCAACUACAAACAUGUAAAGAAGCACGCUUCUAAGGCUACAAUACUACCUGGAAUUAAACUCUACUGAAUUCAGUGGGUCUUACUUCAUAGGUUUGAAUUGUUAAAAAACAAGAUUAUAAGCACCCAGAACAAAGUCUUAACAAAAAAACAAACUACUAAUUCCAUGUUCGGGUGAGAACUUUUGGUCCUUCGGCUACACAGCUUCUACUAAUUAUAAGAAAGAAUAGUGUCUAUCCUGUUAACAAAAAAGGGGGAUUUUCUAGUAAUAUUUCCACUUAUUAGAGAGUAAAUAUGGUCACAGCAUGUUCAGGGUUUCAUUUAGGGGCAAAUAACAGAUGGUAUUACAGCUCACUUCCUUCACUCCGGUUGACAACCCAUGUCGAGAAAAAUAUUUGACCCCCGCCCCGCCAAAAUAAUUUAGAAGGUGAGGGCUUCAUUCUGCCCCUUCUAAAUCAACGACGUUUUCCUACAGAUUUCUAAGCAAGUAGGAUUGCAGCUCUGUCGUCAGAUUCCAUGCAUAAAUCUACCUGUUUAGUGGUACUUCCUGGCAGCCCAGUGUGCAGGAGACUGCAUGCUUUCAAAUGUCCUUACACCCAAGGAAUUUGGGUCAACGUUGAAUGGGCUGUAAGGCUUAAAGGUGCGCAUGCGCUUAGGUACAGGUCUCUUCAAGUGAUGCUAACUAGUGGCAAACCAUAUACCAUCACCGCGAUAUCUUAGUUUAAGAAAAAGUAAUCAAACCCAGAAUAUGCUUAUAAACAACCCCUACUACAGCCCCUAUAAACAGAAAUAUCUUGCUUUAGUUAGGAUUGGGGCGGUGCAUUUAAGAAUGCAGGUUUAUGUUGGAAGUAAGUCCCACUGUUUUCAAUGGUGCUUAUUCCCAGGAAAAUAUAAAAGGGUGGUAGCUUGUAACUGCACUUCUAUGCACAAUAAGCUUAAUUAAAUACAGUGGAUUUAGCUUUAUGUACGCGUAGGAUAACCUUGUACGCGUAGGAUAACCUUGUAGGAUAAUCUUAAUAUAAAGCAUUUAAGACGAAAUCCUAGAUUUGAAUUCUACUAUUUAGGUUUAACUGCAUCGUUGGUCUGGGCGUAAAAGGACCACUUCCACUUAUGUAAUUCCAUUGAUGGCUAUGGAACUACUCUUUACACGUUAGCCACUAACCCUUACCUACCCUGGUUUGUCUUAAUUGAUCUGAGAAUGUAAUAGUAUACCCGUUUAUUAUAGUAUUUCCGCAGGUUGUACAACCCUGAAAGUGAAUCUGAACCCUGGAAGAUAAUUUCAUUAUACAACCACCCUUGAAUAAAUUAAGUGGGAGUACCUUAUGUACCUUAUAUGCAUAUUUUAAUCAGGUAUACCACGGGUAUGCAUAAUUACCGCCGUCUAAUUGAAUUUGACGCACCCAGCUAUAGAUGUGUGACAUGUAAAAAUAUUUUGUCACUAUAUGGACAUGAACUGCUUCCUGCAGAUUCCAAAUAUUUUCAUCGCUCCUCGUCAUUCUGCGCUUGAAAGGGUCAUCGUUUGGAGGAAAGAACCCCAACCCCUCCUCCCUCCCUCCCUCUCACUCACUCUCUCUCACACAGAUCCCUCUGGUAAAAGUAUUCAUUAAUAUUCAUAGUGUGGGCGAUGGAUCAUUUAUGCAUCCUAACCGCGCCGCUACACACUUGUCCAUUCUGAAGCGCACGAGUGGCACCGACCAAUCAGAAGCUGAGAGAAAGCUGGACCAGAGUUCUAGCGGGGAGGAGGAGGAGGAGGAGGAGUGUGGACAAGAUAAAGGAAGAAGGCAGGAUGGACAAAAGCAGGAGGGGAAGGCAGGAGCGGGCAUAUGUCCGUCUUAAGUCCUACCAAACGGUUACAUUUCUCACCCCUUGCCAUUCAAAACUCAUUUUCCAAGCUCCCCGCGCUUGGAGAGAUACCAGCUGCUUUCUGAAGUUGCCAGGAGGCCGCCGCAAGUUCCCUGCAAGGGCUCCGGGGACACUUUCUGGGGAGCAUUGCUGACGGGGGUGCCAACUUGAAUAAAAUAUUAUUUGGGGGGGCAGGUAAGCCGCGGCCCACAUAAUUGAUCACAGGAUGCGGCGCAUGCACACCGUUUCAAUGGCAAUGCCCAUCAACUUUGGGGGGGACCCUCCAAUAGUUUAUUGGGGGCCCGAAGGGACAUAGGCCCCUAGGAGUUGAUUUCUAUGAUUGCUGACCAGUCUGACUGGGGAGACGGUUGGCAACGCGCAAGGGAGUGUUGGCGCCCGCGAAUCCUCACAGGCCAGACCACGCCAGCCACCUAGGUACACACCACACAUUUAAAGCACAUGACUUCCGCAAAAGAAUCCCGGGAACUGUAGUUUGCUAAGGUUGUUGGGAUUUGUAGUUUUGUGAUGAGUAAGCUGUUGUUCCCAGCGGGAAAUCGCGUGCUUUAAAUGACUGGAGAAGUUUUCGCUGCUUGGAAUUCCAAAGGCGCUGAUCUGCAGUUUGUGGGGGAGAAUCUCUUGCGUUUCGGAGCCUUUUGGUACUUUCAUAAUAAACUGUCUGGACAGGAAAGCAGGUCCAUGCGCGUGACAUUAUUUUAGCCUCAUCCCCGGACAUUUACAAUGGGGGGAGGGGGAGAAUAGUAAUGGCCUUGCAAGCCUGAGAUAAAUGUGGAUGAAGCUCUCGGAAGAUUCCCAAGAGUUUGAGGAUGACGCCCCCUCUCCUGCAGACUCAAAUCUUCCUUGAGGUUUAUCCUGCUCUACCCUAUCCCCACUUUAUUUCCUCUUUUCUUACCCUCUUCCAUUUAUAGAUGAUAAGUUGUAUGGGCAGGGAAGUAAGGAUGUCACUGGUCAGCCCCUAGCAGCACCACGGUUUAUCUUCCUCCUGCUCAAUAUUUGAGAGGCAGUUUUGGGGUGUGGUAGUCAACACACAUUGCCUGUUCCUUGAGGUUAGGAGCUGGAAAUGGCAGGUGCGCGCGGGGGAGAGAUGGAGAUGAAGGAAAGGCGAGACGGGAGAGUGUUUGUGUUUCCAAGGCGCCGCCCCCUCCCCAGGCUGCCGUAAUUAUCUUGCUGAAAUAUUCUCCAGUGGCCAAAAGUUGCAAAAUAAAUCGACCUCUCCGCGCUAGUUCCAGAGGUCUGUAGCCAUCAUCCUUUUUUCAAUACAUUUUAAACAAGAGGCUCUAGCGAGCGACUCCGAUUCAAUACACAUAAUCAGUUUGGAAGUCUUAUUUCCAUUUGAAAACAGGCCUAUUUGCAAUCAUGAGAGCCGGACACGCUGAAAGAUACAGAAUAACGUGCCCGGGAGAGGGGAAGGUGGAGGGGGGGGGGGAGAGAGAGAGAGAGAGAGAGAGAGAGAGAGAGAGAGGAAGAACCGUCAGGCAAGCACUGAAGAUUUUGUGCCCCCUCCCAAUCCUUAUUUAUUUAUUUAAAACACGAGGCUGUAGCCAUGAGUCUUUUUAUGCAUUCCCUUGGAAAAUAUAACUUAAUUGCUUUUUCCACCGCUACCCCAAACCAGGACCAAAGCAAAACAAGCUGUGUAAUCCACAGCCAGGAAUACCUCCCGUCUCCCCAAAUGGUGAUUGGGAAAGUAUGUUGAUUGUUCUGCUAGCCUCUUAGGGUUAACAGGCAUUUAAUCAAGGGAAAGUACAACACGGGGAAAUGGUUUGGGGCAAAAUGCUAACUUGGUUUGUAAUAACGCGUUGUCCUUGAAUACUGCGACUGAAAGGAAGUUUGCAAGGGGUGAGGAAGGACUGGGGUGUGUGGGAAAUGAUCGCCUUUGUGGCCGAAAAGCCAUCUGCAGAACUAGUAGGUCGUCCUCCACCAGGAUGCGAUGUUAGAAUAAUAGAAUCAUGGAGCUGGAAGAGACCCUGAGGGUCAUCUAGCCCAACCCCCUUGCAAAAUGCAACAAUAUGCAGCUGUUCCAUAAGGAGUUCGAGCCUGCGACCUUGGCGUCAUCAGCACCACGCUCUAACCACCAGAGUUGUUCUUUCCCUUUUGCACCUUGAGCCUACAGAGAUUUCCUUUAGCAAAGAAGUUCGGCUGAAAUCAAGGGUGGAAAGGAGUAUGUUUAGGAGGGUUUUGCUGGCUGAGUGUGCGUGAGAGAUGGGGAGAGGGAAAACGGGAGUGCGCACACUCGCGAGUGCGUCGAGAUGUGCGCUGGGUAACUCUCGGAGCUUGGUGUAGCGAAGAUGACGCCAGAAAGGGCAGGAUUCCUUGAAUGGAUAUGAUAUGUCUGCCAAAUGGUGCUUCACAAACUCAUUCAGCCUAGAGGCGAUACUGCAAGGCUUUAUAUGGGAAAGAGGGAAGGGGGAUGGGUGGGAGAAAGAAAGAAAGAAAGAAAGAAAGAAAGAAAGAAAGAAAGAAAGAAAGAGAAAGGAAAAAUGCUGCUGUCACCAGGUCACUUUUUGCUAUCUUAAAUAAUUAUGACCAUGAUAAUAGCGAAAACGGGGGUGACACGUCAGACGGAAAGAGAUAUCUCUCAUAACGGAGUCGAUGGGACGAUGUUGCUCAGACUGAAGUGGGAGGAUCCGACUACUGUACCUGAGAUCUUUUCUAACCGAGGCACUGAGAAGGACGGGCGCUGCGGGUGUGUGUGUGUCUUACCCAUGCCAAACACUCCCACUGCAGGGCUCUAGCCUGCCCCCAGCUGUUCUCCUAAGCGCCAAGUAAUAUUGCACGACUGUAGCGAUCAGAUUUAAGACGCGCGUGACAGACUCCUCUUGCCACAGCUUUCCAUUUGGGACAAGCAAGAGACCGUAGUCUCUUCAAGGCCCUGCCUGCUUCUGGGCCAUCCCGCGAGGCACCGUCUUCGGAGCCACUUCCUUGGCUGUGUUGGUAGAAAGGAACCCCCCCUCCCGCUUUGCCAGUCAAGUGCCAGCAGCUAAGUGAAAGCUAAGAGGCCCACACCGCUCCUUAAUAAUCAUUAUGAUCGCUGUUUAUGAAGAAGAAGGUGGAAAGAAGUUGAGGACUGGCAAGACAAGAACCACGGCGACCUCGGGGUGGGGUGAGGGGUGGCCUUCCGCAGCCAUUGAAAACAAUGGGAGGUUCGCCGCUGGCUUGAACGGGUUGCGGUUUGCAGGUGCAAACGCUAUCGCUGAUUUCAGGCUUUUGAGAAGGCGCCUGUAUUUUCAGGAUGCCUGUCCCGCUUCCUCGCCACCUUCCCGGUUCAUGUCAGUGCCAGAUGAGAGGCCUUGACUCCAAAGGGAGCUGAUGGCAGCUCUUUUACUAACCGCUUCCGGUUGCUUCCUCUUUAUCUUUUGCUCGAUGUUCCUAAAUGGAAAGAAAUCGGAGGCUCCCUGGAUCCUCGUCCUCCCCACAAACUGAGAGUUGGGUUCUCGGAUUCCGAUUUUCCUACAUAGCCUCCCAAAUUAACGCCUGCUUUCUUUCCACUUAUUUAUUUGUUUAUUUCUCUUUCUUUUUUUGGGGGGGGGGUGUAUAAACCAUUUAAUCAAAAAUCAGAUCUGAGAUCUUAUGAUGAAAGGCGGUAUAUAAAUCUAAUAAAUAAAAAUUAUUAUUAUUAUUAUUAUUUAAAAAGGAAAGCGCAUCUCAAAGCUACGUUGUGGGUAAACUAAUUUUCAAUAAAACAGCACAUCUUAAAAACGAAUAUGCACAGCUAAAUUAUCUUUCCUGCACGAUCCAGCGAGGAAGCUGUUCUGGGAAGCCCCAAUCGAAGGGACUAUGAGGUGGCGCAACGACGCUUGGACAGCAGACUGUAUGGGAAGGAGAAACCAUCCUUUUCUUACAGCUGCUCAGUACAGUUUUUCUUUGGCCCGGAGCUGCUCUUCCAGGUCCCAAACCUGAGAAAAUUUUCAACUGGAGAUGCCAGGUUUUGAACCUGGGACCUUGGCUUCUGUAUUGUUUGGAACCAUAAGAACCAACUCCUAGGGACCGAGGUCCCUUCGGCCCUCAAUAAAAUAUUUCCAAAAAGCUGAGGGGAAUUCCCAUUCAGAUAGUGUGUGUGUGUGUGUGUGUGUGCGCGCGCGCGCGCGCCAUGCCACGUGACUGUAUAUGUGGGGCGGGGCUUACCUGCCCCCCCCCUGUUUUAUUCAAAUUGUCACCCGUGGUUGGAACCAUUGGUCUGAAAUGUGUACUAGGCACAUAAUGAACCAGGAGUCUCCUGCCAUAAAGAGUGUUUUAAGGAAGGAACAUCCCAUGAAUGAAGUGAUCGGUUUGUGGUUAGGACCAUAGGAGCCAACUCCUAGAGGCUUCGGGGGCUUCGGCCCCACAAAAAAAUAUUUAAGGGGGAUACACACACUCCAAGUUGAUGGGCAUUCCCAUUCCAGUUGUGUGUGUGCACUGCGUCAUGCGAAAAAUUAUUAGGGGCGGGGCUUACGUGGACCCGCCCCCACAAUAUUUUAUUCAAGUUGACGCUUCUGAUAAGGAGCGUCUGACACACGUAUGUUGGAAGAAUUUUAAAAACAUAGAAAAGCUUUAGACUCGAACACUGAUGCCUUUGUUUGAGUUUCUAAGGUGUUCUACGUCUAAGGUGCACCGUCAGAAGCCCAUUCUUAUCAAUAAAAUAAAAGACACUGAAAUGAAACAAGGAGCUCAUUUACCGAAUAGCUCAGUUGGUUAGAGCAUGGUGUUGAUAAUACCAAUGUCGCAUGUUUGAUCCCCCUGUGGGACAGCUGCAUAGUCCUGCAUUGCACGGAGUUGGCAUAGAUGAUCCUCAGGGUCCUUUCCAGCUUCUACGAUUCUAUACUUAAUCUGAAGGAUUGGCUCUGCUCUGCGAAAUAUGUCCCAUCUGGGGCUCUGGCAAUCCUCCAAAGGGUAUGAAACUCAAUGCAAGCCCUGCGUCAACUUUAGAGGGAAAUAAGUACUGAACUCGAUGCUGCUUACUUCUGAAUACACACGUAUAGGAUUGUACGGUAGAAGCGCACUCCUGUAAAAAGGUAAAGGUAAAGGACCCCUGGACGGUCAAGUCCAGUCAAAGGCGACUAUGGGGCGCGGCGCUCAUCUCGCUUUCAGGCCGAGGGAGCUGGCGUUUGUUCACAGCUUUCCAGGUCAUGUAGCCAUCAUGACUAAACCGCUUCUGGUGCAACAUGCCUGCUCAAGAGUAGGCACAGAAGCCAAUGGGACUUCUUCCUAGGCAAAGGUGCGGGAGAAUGUAGCCUAAAUUACCAGCGACAAAACAUUUCCACAGGGAAUCCCUCGAGUGGACAGCCCUGCUAAAAUUCCUUUUUUAAAUAUCUGCAGUGAAACCGAUUAACGUUUUGUAUCCUAAUUUGAUGGCCGAGACAAUUGCUGACCUGAACAACCACGCGAAGCCAACUAUGCGCCUCUUUUAGACAUUUGGUCAGUUCUCUAGCAGCUGGACCGGCAUUCCAGUUAACUUGAACCUUGGAUACUUUAAAACGGGUUUCCCAGUUAAGUUCAAUAAAGGCUAAAUUAUCUUUAACCGAGGAACUUCGAAUUAAGGUGGGAUGGAACUCCUGGCCUUGCCGGGGCACCAAUGGCAGGUGGGCAAGUGGGUGGGGAUGACCCCAUAGUCAAGCGCAUGGUGUUAAGAGCCCCAUAAGGACAGCACUCCGAUGCUUCCCAUACUCAGUCAGUUCCAGGGAUGCUUGUCCACAGGAAUAUAUUUUUUGGUUGCAUUUAAAUGGAACAAAAUUCUGCUAGCACUUCUGGAAAGCUUCCCAAGCAAAAGUGCUCAUGUGCACUUAAAGAAGAAACAACGCAAAACGAGACGACGUUGGCUUGACUUCCAGGUUCGAUUGUUGUCAGCUCACUUUCUUAGAUCUAGAAGUCCGAUCUAGAAGUCCAAGCGAAACCCUUGUAUGUUGCCCUGAUGUGAAUGGGAAAGAUCUGACUCUCUUGCUGACUUUCCUAGGACUUCAACAGACGCUUUGCUUCAGCUGGACUGUGCCCCACUGGGAUGCUGAAACCCACGAGAUUUACUUCGAAUUAAACACGUUAAGGAAUCAUAGAAUCGUAGAAUCAUAAAAUUGUAGAUUUGUAAAGGACUCCGAGAGGCAUCUAGUCUAAUCCCUGUGACGCAGGUUUCCAGCCCACAGCCAUUUCUGGAUGGCCACGAUGGGGUGUAAAAUGCAACCACAGGAGCCAACUCCUAGGGGCCGAGGUCCCUUCGCUGCCUCCCAAUGAAAUAUUUGAGGGGCCAGACCCUCAAAGUUGCUGAAUAUUGUCAUUCAAAUGGUGUGCGCGCGCCAAAUCAUGUGAUCGAUUAUGGGGUGGGGGCUUGCCUGCUCCCUCAUAUGUUAUCCAAGUGGGCACCCCUGAAUGCAAUGGAGCCAAAGGUGGGGAUUAUUUGUUGGUGCUACUCAGCGCAAGUGAAUAAACUUCGGGAUGCUCUCAUAUAUUGCCUGGGAACUUGGUGUGUGAAAAAGAAGGCAGGGAGGCAGAGCAUAUAUGUAGAACAUCUGGUGGCUGCAUCCCAGACAAAGGUUGGAAAUGCUUGCGGGCUUCCCACAGGUUUCUGGUUACCCGCUGUGAGAACAAGAGGCUGGAGUAUGCGGGCCACUGGCCGGAUUCAGCAGGUUCUGAUUAUGUACCGAUGCAAGCCGAAAACUCCGAGCUAAAGAGCAGGGCCUAAAGGCUACUGUCAGCAUUCUCUGAUCUCUGUCCAGGAAGUGGAGAACCGCCGUCGAAACUUAUCGAACAUCAGUCCUAGAGGUACGACUCAGUGACACCGGUUGGCUUGGUUCUUAGGUUAAGGAACCCGGUGGAAAAGUUGGGGGGACCACACACACACACACACAGUCUGAUGUUCGUAGCUUCCCUGUCUUGCCUCUUCGGAAGAGUGGGAAUGCUGCGAUCUGCACCUCAUCCAAGCCAAUGCGAAACUUGCAGCCCUCGGCCGAGGUCUGGAUCAUACCAAUUCUGGGGAAAGGACUGUAGCUCAGUAGUACUGAAUGUGCCAUAGGUGCAGAAGGUCCCAGGUUCAGUCCUCAGGAUCUCCAGGUAGGGAUGGGAUUCGGGAAAGACCCUCGCCUGAACUCCUGAAGAAGAGGCUCUGCCAGUCAGUGUCGCUCUGCCAGUCAGUGUCAAUGCCUAUCCAAGGCAGCUGUCUACGCUCCCAAUAAUUUCUCCCGCCCUUCCUCCCCAGGACUUGGAGAUGGACUGGGGCGUGCCUGCUGCCUGAGUGACAGCGCCCACUCAUUUGCCAGUUGGCAGGGGCCGCAAUCAGAUCCUUUCCGAGACAUUUAGAAAUAAGGAAGCAAAUAAGCUCAUGAAAUAUACUCGGAAUCCUGUAGUGAUUUCAUGCUCUUUAUUGCAGCUUGUAAAACAGUGAUUGAAUUGCCCCCCAAACCUCAGGCUUUUAUAUACAUUAUUUACACAAUGAGUCCCGUCUGAUUGGCUGAUUCUGCUUCCCUCCUGGAGCCUGAUUGGUCUUUUCUUGCAGGCCAAUCAGUUGUUGCAUUCUGCGAUCCUACCAGCAUAAUAGGCUGAUUAACUUCUUCCUGGAGCCUGAUUGGUCUUCUCCUGCAAGCCAAUCAGUUGUUGCAUUCUAGGAUCCUACUUGCCUGUUGUUCUAGGAUCGAUGGUUAGUACAUGACAGCUCUGUUAAAGGGACGCUUUUAAUUUGGUAUCGUUAAGAUCCCCCACUGUCUUCUUCAAAGGGACAGAGGAGACGAGGCAGGUACGUCUCGGGAAAUGAAAAAGAUGCAAGCGCCUUGGGCUUCGCAGAGCAAAUCCGAGAAGCACCCGAGGAGAGUAUCUGGCAGAUCAGGUCCUCCUCCUGCUGGUCAAAUUUAGGCCCCUUAGAUAGCCAGCAACCGGAGGUCAAGGGAGACUGGAGUGGGUAUUGCCUCUGCAUAUUUCUGCUUCUGAAUUCUCUGCCUUCCGUUUUGCUGUUAAGAUUAAUUCAUUUUAUCCAUCGCUUGUUACAUUGGGGGGGGGGAGUUUUAAAGCGAUGGACUACUACUUAAAAAUGCAAAGAUGCCACAAAACAGCCGAAACCACAUGGUAUGUGCACCCACCAGCAACCAAUAGCAGGGAAAGUAUCCUUCGCUACCCAACUAAAAGAGGAACACUACAGUGGUACCUAGGGUUAAGAACUUAAUUCGUUCCGGAGGUCCGUACUUAACCUGAAACUGUUCUUAACCUGAAGCACCACUUUAGCUAAUGGGGCCUCCAGCUGCUGCCGCGCCGCCAGAGCACGAUUUCUGUUCUUAUCCUGAAGCAAAGUUCUUAACCUGAAGCACUAUUUCUGGCUUAGUGGAGUGUGUAACCUGAAGCGUAUGUAACCUGAAGCGUAUAUAACCCGAGGUACCACUGUAUUAUGUUUAGUUAGUAGAUACACUUUUUACGGUGUUGAAUUGAAAUGGUGCGUUGAUUGCUAGAGUUUAAAGGGACCGCUUGGUACGUUGCCCAUCACCACGGUGGCAUCCAAACAGUCCGUUCAGGACAAGGGCACCAAACUUUUGAAGACAACCCAUAACCCAUCACUGGGAAGAUCGAAAACCGGCCGCUCGGAAGUCAGUUCCCUCGAGUUCGGGAGUUCCAAAUCCAGAAUAAGUUCUGAAGAGAAAAGGAGUCGAGCAGAGCUCUUCAUCCAGAUUCCCUUCCUUGGUGUCACAAUGGAACCUGCAGCUAAACCAUUUGUAGCCAACCGUUGCUCUCAAGGAAGGAGUCAAACCGGAUUUGACCAGGGAGGGCCAGAACUCUUGACAGUAAAAGAAUGGCAUUCCUACGUACCUCCAUCAAUGGAUAUUUCUGUUGCAAACCCAAGAGAAAGCGCAGAUCAGAUACAAAUGGAAAUGGAAAACUGACAUCACAUAGAACGCGACAAGCUGGAUUCCCUCGCCCUUUAUACCCAGCAUUAAGCAGAAUUCACACGUGACGCAUUUCCUACGUUAAACUUUGGCAUGCAGCUCUGCAAAAUAUUAAGCUGUGGCCGCGCAAGUUCUCUCUUUUUCUGUGGAGGUUUGUUUUUAGCUACCUUCUGGUUUUAAAAUGUUCUGAGGCGUUUGCUCCACUUACACUAGGACCCGAAACAGGUUUCCGCCGAAGUGGGGCUUCUUUCUGAAUAAGACGGCUUAGCAAGUAGUGCUUUAUUUGUGGCAGGUUGGGAUUUUGGCGUUCCACAAACUAUAGGAUUUAGCUCCGUGUAAAUCCAUUUAACACUGAGCGAAAUGAGAAGGUAAUCGGGGCGGGGAAACCCCUCUCCCUCCUCCCUUUCGUAACCGGAUGCCCACCUUUUAAUACCCUGCUUUCGGUUUCUAGGUUCUCAAAUCUCAAAUCGCUGUUCCAACAGUACUUCCGAUAUCUUCUCGCUGGCCAAUGGUCCUCCGAAUUAAGGCAACCGCAGAGUAGGCGGUCUAUAAUGCGGUGCCAAAUUUACUUGGAAGCCAUUCCUGUUGAAUCCAGUGGGGCUUCUCUCCACGAAAACGUAUUUAGGAGUGGGGUCCUCUUGGAGCCAGUGUCAGUUUACGCAAAAGUAAGCUUUAAAGUAAGUGCGGCUAGGAUCGCAGCCUCGAUCAGCGUUUAGGAUGCGUGCUGCUUCUAAGCAUAGAAAUGUCCCCUUAGCUUCGGUGGCACUUACUUCCGCGUGAAAUGCAUAGGAUCGCGGAACUCAUUUGUUAACAUAAGCCAAAAAGUUCUUAAAGUGAUCCAAUCCCUUUGGGGGGUGGCAUGGAAGUCAAAUUUGUCCCAGGACGCGAUCCUUGGUACGUUUAUGUGGAAGUUAAAGUCAGAGAAAUUAAUGUGAAUCAUUCCUAUUUGUAUUUAACGUUUGGCUGUUACCCUUAACCACAUUUAAUAGGAAGGAGGUCUGCUGAAACCAAUGGGACUUGCUUUCCGCCUAAAGUUGGCAAGGAUCGGGUACUAUCACUCCCCUUUUUUUGUCUUCCACGUAUUUGAAAGGAUUAUUCUUUUGUCCAAUGAAUACAAACUAAAUUAUCAAAGCACGUUGAGGGAUAAAAUGAAAAGAUAAUCAUUAGGGGUUUGUCCAAUAUUUCACACGGAAAAAACACACCCACCAUCCUCCAGGCUACCUUUUUACAUGUACUUGUCCUUAACCUUUAAAAGCAACGGCUGUAAAUACAAGAUCUGUACUUUCUCUAAUAGAUUUUCCUAGGAGCUGGUGACAGAGAACUGAUUUCUUUUCUAUUAGGCUUUAGCACAUCUUUGUUGAAGGCCCCGCAGAAUGACCACGGAUUAGAAUUCGAUUUGCAUCUCUUAGGCUCCCUGUGUGGUCUUUGUAAGGAGCUUGUAACUGUUAAAAUGACUUGUUAGGAAGCGUGUGGGCUCUCAUCCCUCUGCUUUUGACAGAAUGAUUGAGAAAUUCAGUUCGCCCCUAUAGGAUUUAGCCUGCGGAUUCCACCUGAACCUUAAGCAAUUAGACCCUAAUCUCAGCGCAAUCAUAUGGAAGUUAGGAUUUCUUGUACUUUGUUUACUCCGGGGUUCUUAUAUAUAAAAAGCACCUCGAUUAUUUUAAACGAACUUUGUAAUAAUAUUGUCCCAAAUGUUACAGAAAUGCACCCAGCUUGGAAUGCUGCCCUGAUAACCUAGCAGCAGCCAAGGCUUUACUUGAAGUUAAGAAUGUUAUAAUAAACUUCAGUCAGAGAACAUGCAUGGGAGUUAUCCUACCUUCACUGGAAACCUCGGAUGCAACAGUGCUUUGCAAACUGACUUCUGAAUCAACCUGUAGGGCAAGCAGAACCACUGAAUUCAAGGGGAUUUACUUUCAAGUAAACCUGUACUUAGGACAAGAGUGCUAACAGCAUUCUGGAAACAGGACAGACCAAACUCUAAAUGUUCAUUUCUGUUUAAACACACACACCCAAUUUGUUUUAUUAUUAGCAAGUUAGUUUCUCCCAAUCUGCUCUGCAAAAACUGUAAAUGCACUCAGAAAAACACCCCAAACAUAAUUUAUAUUAGGGCAUGAGAAUAACCAGGAUUUAACAAACAAAACUAAUCAAAGUUUGAGCCCAGACUAGGGAAAAUGUCUGUUUGUAAAUAACUAAAUGUUCCACUGAGCAAAUUAAUCUGAGCUGGAUACAUAUGUGAUCUCAGAAAAAUAAGCAUUUCCUAAUGAAAAGUCUUUUCAGGCUUUUAAUAUAUCUUUCCUUCUCAAUAUUACAAAUGCACAGUGGUCAAUUGUGAUCCCAGCCCCCAAACAUAGCAUUGCUGUCAUGGAGAUCUCAUAUUUCUCCAGAACUCAAACCACAGUAUUUUAUUACAGUUGGGGGGGGGACAAGCCAGUGGGGAGGGGGAACUUUGCUUGUGCAAAUGCCACAGCCACUUUUGGAACAGGACCUGUGACAUCAUUGGUGUUGAGUGACACAUCUCCCCUCUCCUCCCAUCUCCUGCCCACUCCACUUUCUGACCAUUUAAAAGUUUCAUUUUAAUGAUUCCGCCCUGUCUUUCUUUAGAGGUCGAGCACUAUACCAUUCAACUGCAAGAUUAUUCAUGCAGCUCUUUUAAAAUAUGGCGUGCACCGCAAGGCUACCCCUUCUCCCCCUGCAAAAACACUUUGUCAUUUCAAGAAAUGUCUUAGUGUUUUAUGGUCUGUAUUCCACAUCUCCAGAGCUGAAAUACAUGGGUACCUCUGCCCUCCCCCUCCCUGCCUGGUUUCCAAGUUCUGAACACGACAGCAAAAUUGUCAAUCCUGCAGCAUGAUCCCUCCAGAGUACUGGGACCAAAUUAUUUAUUAUUACCUCUGGGUUGCCUGCUGCAAGACUGCAAAUAUUUUAUACACAGUAGUUGGACGUGCACAGCUUGGUGCUGUGAUGACACACCACUCACUCAGAAGAGUUUAGAUCUGGAGGUAACUCAGGGGAAGAUGAGGAAGAGAGAAGAAGCCCAAUGGAGGAGUUCUACAGCUGCUUCAGGUCCUAACCUACUCACAACUGUCAGCAUUAGAAUUCAGUGACCGCUGAAUGUGCUCAGUCCUCAGUGGGCUGUUUAGGGCAGGCAUAGGCAAACUUGGCCCUUGUAGUUUUGGGACUACAACUCCCAUCAUCCCUAGCUAACAGGACCAGUGGUCAGGGAUGGUGGGAGUUGUCCCAAAACAUCUGGAGGGCCAAGUUUGCCUAUGCCUGGUUUAGGGAGUUCCCCUCCCUUAGAAUAUUCCCUCCCCAAAUGCUCCAUCUCCUAAGCCUGUUACUACCCCGUCUCUCUUAUGCAACCAAGUAGCACCACGUGUGGUGCUACUUGGUUGUAUAAGCAACUGCACUCAUUUUAUGUAUUUUAUUUUAAAAACAAAUCUACUGGUUGAGCAUAACCUCUAAGUGGCCUGCUAGAAAUAUUGAAAUUACUACUAAACCAAGCUUCCUCAACCUCGGCCCUCCAGCUGUUUUUGGUCUAUAACUCCCAUGAUCCCUAGCUGGCAGGACCCCUAGCUAGCAGGGAUGAUGGGAAUUGUAGUCUCAAAACAUCUGGAGGGCCAAGGUUGAGGAAGCCUGUACUAAACGGUUAAAAACCAGUUAACAACAUUUAAAGAUCAAUAACAGCAAAGGAGAUUUAAAAAUGUCAACACCUGCGUGUCUGGAUAGGCUUCCCUAAGCAAAAAUGUUUUAAGCUGGCACUGAAAGGAGUACAGUGAAGGUGCCUGCCUGAUAUUAACAGGUGGGGAGUUCCGAACUGUCACAAUGCUACCACACUAAAAUACUGAUUUCUUAUAGCUGUGGAAUGUGUAUUAUGUGGCACAGGUAACAAUACAGUAGUACUUCGGGUUAAGAACUUAAUUCGUUCUGGAGGUCAGUUCUUACCCUGAAACUGUUCUUAACCUGAAGCACCACUUUAGCUAAUGGGGCCUCCUGCUGCUGCCGCGCUGCUGGAGCACGAUUUCUGUUCUCACCCUGAAGCAAAGUUCUUAACCUGAGGUACUAAUUCUGGGUUAGCGGAGUCUGUAACCUGAAGCGUCUGUAACCCGAAGUACCACUAUACUUCUGCAGAUCAAAGCAGUUGAGUGGGCACAUAUGGGAAGAUGCAAUCCCGUAAGUAAACUGGUCUCAUGCCCUUGUGGGCUUAAUGGAACUCUCAGACACCCCCAGUGGAACCACCAAGGUCCCCUGCCCUUCCUAUUUAUUUUUUAAUUAUUAUUAUUUUAAAUGAGUUUAUUUGGCUUUUUUGGUCAUUUGAUAGGGGUUGCCUGUUUCUGGGAGAGUGUUUUUUUUUUUUUUUUUAAGGUCUGUGCUCCAUCUAGCUGUAAACAUCUGUGAUACAAAAUCAAACAAAAAUUAAACAUCAAGAAGAACUUUCUGACAGUAAGAGCUGUUCAGCAGUGGAACGGACUCCCUUAGGAGCUUGUGGCCUCUCCUUCCUUGGAGGUUUUUAAGCAGAGGCUGGAUGGCCAUCUCUCAUGGAUGCUUUAGUGGAGAUUCCUGCAUUGCAGGGGGUUGGUUGAGAUGACCCUCAGGGUCCCUUCCGACUCUGCAAUUCUAUGGUUCUGUAGGAGGAAAGGAUAUAACACAGCAUUACAGUAGUGAAUGAACCUCUUGGUUGACCAGUCUCAACCAGUGGGAUUCAGAGCACAAAAUAAGACACAAUCUUGUUUACAGGUGUGAUGCAUCAUAUAGAUGGUUUCUCUAGCUGGUUCCAGACAUUGGGAAGGGUUUUUGUCCUCCAUGUCCAAAGAUAGGCAACAACAAAAUCAACCUGGAAUAUAUGUAAGUGCACAUGACAAGUCAAAGGGAACAUCACAGGAGAGAGAAUAAAAGUCCUUCAGGAGAAGUAAUAGAGACAGAGCUGGGGAAAAUAAAGAUGGAUGGGAUCAGAGGUGGCCUACAGCCAUUUUAAAUGGAUAGCAUUAUCACACUGCUGGUGACAGCAGUUGACACUGUUUGUUUAGAUUUACUUGGUUACAGACUAACUAAGUGGAGAAUGGGGAGCAGAGUCAUUGCACAGGAGGUGACAGAUCAGAUGUGCUACUCUCAUUCUUCACCAACAUGAUGGACCUGGGUCACUGACUCUAUGUAUCAAGCUUUUAUUUUAUGACUGUUACCUCUCCCACUAUCCUAAAAGCUUCUAUUUUCUUUCACGUCAUGUGACCUUAUGAUCUGAAGGCAAAAGAGCUCCACAAACCAUACACACCUUUCCCAUGUUUCCCAUGCAACUUUAGGCAAUUAACUACUGGAAUGAAUGCAUCAUUCUUGGAAGCAUGGACUGUCAUAUUGCUAAUCUGUUUGCUAGCUGAAAAAGUGGCUUUUGUCUUUUAACCGUUGGAUGCUAUUAAAAGAUUGUAAAUAUUGUAAAACGUUUUGUAUUUUUCCAUUUAAAAAAAAAAGAAAGAUUGAGAAAUGGCAUCCAAAAAGGGAUCAGUAACGUGACAUUUUUCUCCAAGCAGAAGGAGCUGGAGAAAAAGUGUAGCAGAAACAACUUGUGUUGAAACUUUACAUAGGUACUGACAUGUACCGGUACUUUCUGGGAACAUUUAUAUCCUGUCUUUCCAUUCAGUGUUAUUGUUUCUGUAUUUCCUUGGGUUCUGUAUAAGCCAAACAAUUUGGGUUUAAAACAUUCCCAUAAGGAAUCCUGAGUGGGCUGAAUUUUCUUUCUUUUUUUUCAUUUUUAUCCCUCUUUGUAUAUUUUUAUUUGACUCAUAUUUUUUUUACCAAACUGUACUAUAAGGACAGAGGCAUGUUGUUGUGACAACAGAGGACUUAUUAUCAAGGCUGAUUAAUGUAAUUGUACAGUUAUAGGUAAGACCAAGAUUACAGAUAAAUGCUGGGCUGAAGCAGGACCAAAGUUGAGGUCACGGAGUCUGAUUUGGAUGUGAGAUGAGAUAAAAACAUGGCCAGCUCAAAACACAGUGUAUGGCCAGGAGCCAAAAGUGAGUAGCCAAUUGAGAACAAGACUAAUUACAACUCAUUAUGUGUAAGCGGAAGUAUUUUCGAGGAACCAAAUUAGUUGAGCCAUAAUGUCAGAAAACAUUAGCUCUGAAUAUACCUUGAAUACUAGUUGCUGGGAAUCACAUGAGGGGAGAGUGGAUGUUACACUCAUGUCCUGAUUGUGGGCUUCCCAUUGGCAUCUGUUCAGCCAUCGUGGGAAUAGGAUGCUGGACUAGAAAGGCUUUUGGCUGAUCUAACGGAGAUCUUCUUAUUAAAGAACCAGACUUGUUCAUAUCUAGAUCAGCCCAGAUGUUCCCAUCCACAUUUCCAUGUACUAUUAUCACAUAAAGGUGGUUUAAGUCAUAAGUAAGGCAUGAAUUGGUUUAGGGCAGUAAAGUGAGAAGAGGUUGUGUGCAAAGUCAACAAAAGCAUAAGCAGAAAAUGGAGGGUACCUAAGCCUAUUCUGGGAUGUUGGUGGCGCUGUGGGUUAAACCACAGAGCCUAGGACUUGCCAAUCAGAAGGUUGGCGGUUCGAAUCCCCGCAACGGGGUGAGCUCCCAUUGUUCGGUCCCUGCUCCUGCCAACCUAGCAGUUCGAAAGCAUGUCAAAGUGCAAGUAGAUAAAUAGGUACCGCUCUGGCAGGAAGGUAAACGGCGUUUCCGUGUGCUGCUCUGGUUCGCCAGAAGCAGCUUAGUCAUGCUGGCCACAUGACCCGGAAGUUGUACGCCGGCUCCCUUGGCCAAUAAAGCGAGAUGAGCGCCGCAACCCCAGAGUCGGUCACGACUGGACCUAAUGGUCAGGGGUCCCUUUACCUUUACCUUUUAAGCCUAUUUUACAAGCUAUUGUGUUGAGUUGUUCUGUGUGGGUGCCUUGGGCUCUGUGCCGCCUAUACUCCCAGAUACAAAUGGAGUGCAAAACAGCCAGACAAACAAAAUCUGCUAAUGCAAAGAGAUAUUCUGCAGCUGCAGAUUUGGCUGAUCUGGUCAACAUGGCUGCACGAGGCACUAUGGAACUGAGUUCAAAAUUUGUAUGGUCCUAAAUAACUUUUAUUGAUAGUACCUGCCCUGUGUAAAAUUCAGUAUCUAUAUCUAUAUACUUAAAAUAAACACUAACUAUCCAAACUCUAGUACAAAGGCUGCUAACAAUACACACGUGUGUGCAUCUCUACCUACAGAGUCCCCUCCCUCUUCUGAAAUUAGAAUAGGUUGUGGUGCCCAGAACAGUUUCUCAGAUUCACAUAAUGGGCCCAUGGGCCUGCAAAAGUUGGCAACCUAUGUUUUUCAUGCAUCAUCAACAGUUCUGCAACAAGAUAAAUUAUUAAGCCAAUUAAAUAUAUUACAGUAUGGGCUAUACUUUCCCAGAAGGCCCUGUAACAUUCCAAGACUUAGGCUGUGAUUCUAUCCAUGCUUCUUCCUAGAGUAAACUCAUUGAACUUCAUAGAACUUACCGUACUUCUGAGUAGGCAUGGAUAGGAUUUUUCAUGUUUUAUAAGCAGACAUCUGAUUUUACAAUACAUUUGAUAUGUGCUGCUAGGUCAGCAGACAAGCGUAGGAGGCACAGGACAGGGCAUGUGGCUCAUACAACUCUCUCCUCCAACACUUUGCUGCCACUCCCCAGCAUUUGCCACCAGAGGCAACUGCCUCACUUGGUCUUACUUUAGGACCAGCCCUACUGUAAUGCAUACUUUUGGUGUGUAUAACUCAUGAGUAUCCAAGGCCAAGUGGGUCCCACCAAAGGUGUCUUUUCCAAAACCUGCCCCUAAAACAACAGCAACAACCCUGGAGGCAGCACUGUCCUCGAUUCUUACUGCCUCAUCCUUAUGCUCCUGCAGACAGGACACUUUCUAUACCUGUGGAUAGUGGAGCUUUAGGCAUGUCAAUGCACAGAAUUGCACAUGAAUCGCUGGAUCUUGGGCAUCUUUGUCUGUGCCUUUUCAAGGGCUGUUAGCUAUUUCUGAAGGUUAAAAUUGUGAGGCAUUUUUCUGGUCUGGUUUAAGAAAUGAACUGACAGAAUGGAGACCCAGAAAACUUACAGACAGCGGUUCUGGAAAUAACAUUAAAAGGAAAGGAGGUGAGCACAUCUAAUUGCAUUUCUCAAUGGGACAUUAGUUAAGUCAUAAAAAUGCAGCUGUUUUACCAUGUACAAGGAACUGGAAGUUUUAUUCAGGCAACAAAGAGAUUUUCUAAAUCCCAGAACCAGAAUACUAUUAGCCGUUCACCCAUUUUCAGUAUUGUGACUUCUGGAUAGAUUGUUAAAUGACAUAAGGAAAGGGUGAUUUUAAUUUUCUUGAGGGAUAGCAAAGCUAGUCGGAAGUCAUUUAAUAAGCUUGAUUAGCAAGUUGUGUUGCCCUAUCUAUAGCUGGUAAAAAUAUGUUUCAUUUUCAGCUUAUAAAGAGUUGCAAUUUAACUAUCAACUUGCAUAACCUUUCACCAACAAAAUUUGUUUCAGCGAAAGAUAUCACUUUACCUAUUUUGUACCAAAUAUUUCGGAAUAGCAAAACAUCUGUCUGUAUCAAAUGUUGGGGAGAAUGAUUAGAGUUGUCAGUUGAUGACAUUUGCAGUUAAAUCAACUACUUACCUUCAAUCCAAUUCAUAUUUUUACCAAAACCUCAAUACAGAUGUCUUCCUUGAGAUGUUGAAAGAUGUGUAUGAUAACUUGCAACUUAAUGAAUAAAAGCUCCCAUUUGUUGUUGGAUAGAAAAGUUCUCUUUAAUAUGUUCAUUUUCAUUCACACUUUCUUAGGAGUAAGACCCAUUGAAUUCCCAGGAACUAAUUACUUUGUAAACAUCUAUCAGAUAGAGCAGCACAGCUUUAGUUGAUCAGUCUAUUGAUUGAACUGAUUAAACUUUGUAAUCAUCCAAAUUAUAUAUUUUUCACUCAGUCCACACUUGUAAAAAACAAAAAACCUUUAAUAUAAUUUUAACUUUCUGGUCCUGAACAUAAAACAUGGAUGGAAAUUCCAUCCAAAUCAACUGGACUCACUGCCUCGUAAUCACCCUGAUUUUAGGAAACUGUAGCACAGAAGAAGGCUACUGCUCUCAGGUACACAAAACAGGCUGAUUGCAGAGAAUUAGAAUGGGGAGAUAGAUAUAGAGGGCUUCUCAUGCAUUAAACUACUGAUAGAUGCAGGUCUUUCCUCCCAUUGAGCUCCAUUUUGGUUGCACCCUACCACACUGGCUGCAGGCAUAGAAACCAGUUUCCAAAUGCUAAACCAACACCUAUUGCUACCACUGCAUUGGGGCAUAUAUAUCUCUGAUAGGGUUGGAAACAUGGGAAAGCACUUUAAUAUUUUGCAGAUAUAGCACGGAAACAUUCUAAGGAGUCCAGCAUCCCAUACUUUUUGCUUCAAGGCUUUUCUUUGUUGUCUUAGGGCUGUGAAGGCCACAUCUUCCAAGCAAAAAACUGAUUAGCAAUACAGAAGUUCCCUUUACAUUUCAUGGAGUACCUUGGAUUUCUUCCUUAUUUGUUCUUGCAUGGAUUUUCAGUCAAUUUCUCGAUUGCCUGAUUAAGAGGAGAAUUCAAUAAAAAAAAUAAAUGGAAUCAGGCCUUGUAAAAACAAUAAAUCAGUCAAUGAAUCAAUCAAUCAAUCAUCAAUCAAUCACCAAUUAUACUGGCUGUAUCAUUAAUAAAGAAGAAGAAUUAAACUAAGACUUGGAAGAACUGCUGCAGACAUUUUCCACUCUAGCUUGGGUGUGAGAUUUCUAAACUUAAUGUCUCUCUGACUUCAAAUACACUCUAACCAUGAGUUAUUAAGAUUGCCAGGAGGAGAUUGCCUGGAAUUUUGGGAUGCCCCAAAAGUGGUUUUUAAAAAGGAAAUUUCAAUGGAAAGCCAGAUAAAAAGGUAUUGUGCAGUUUGUCCCUGCUUAAAAUGAGAACAAGGAAUGGAGCAUUGCAGUUAAUUAGCUCUAGUCAGCGCUGGCCGCUCUGCAACAUUUCUUACAGCCGUGUUCUAUCUGAGCCUUAGAGUAAACAUUUCCCACAUGCUUGAUGCAAAAAAACAAAAAAAAAAAAAAACCUGCCAGAAAAUAAACAUUUUAGCCAUUCAAAAUCUGGAGGCAUCACAAUGAAUCUUUCCAAUAACGAGUGAAAGGAGGUUUGAAACCCUUUGCUGAAGAACAGAAUAAGCCGUUGACCAUUCGUGAUUGUGUUCUUAUUUGCUUGGCAUCUUAUUCUGUCCUUACAGGACAAUCCACACAUACCCUAGUCAUACCCCAAAGCGGUUGGAUUUACUUAUGUUGAUUUAGUCCCAAUGAAAUAAAUGGAACAAAAUCGGCUGAAAUCCAAGUACUUCAGGAUUAACCGGGCUGUGGAUCAGGCUGCACAUUAUCUAGCUAUAUUUAUUGUUUGAAAGUGGAUCUUCAGUGAGCAUUUUAUUGUAAUUGCAUUGCUUUUUUAUUUACCGGAUAAUUGUUUUUCUUUGCUAUCAAGUCCUCAUUUAAAAUAGUCUAGUUAAUGCAUUACAAAUAAUGAAGUGCUACAUUGCCUCAAUUAUUUCUGUAUUAAAUGUAUCCUGAGCAAAGUUAGAUAUGUGAAAUAUUGCCAUUUUUCUCAAUUCCCUCAAAAUAGCAUUUAAUCUUCUGAUUCAGCAAAACUGACUACAGAGCAGAAACACUGUUUACAAGUUCCAUCAGCUUACUUUUCUAUGGGAAAAUAUGAUAACACGUUUUAUUGCCUUUUGCAGAAAGUAUUUGUGCUUUACAUUUUUUAUUCAUUAGGCACAAUCACUGAAUUUUGAAAUAAUCUCUUGUGUACAAAUCAUUUUGUUUCAACACAUAUGCAUAAUUCUUAGAUUCCUUUAAAAAAAGAUUACUUGCUUUUCCCUCAGAGUAAAAAUGCCAAUCCGAUAAAUAUGGAUUGUUCAAAAAUGUUUUAAGUGUUGGUUAAUAUAUUUCUUGCAAUAUAUAUCAUAAUAUUAAAGAUAAUUUAUUAGCCAGUUUUAUAUUGCAAUGUUGUCUAAAAAACGACUGUAGCGUACAGUUCAUUUUUAAUAUAUACAAAGUGAUUUAAUAUAUACAAACUGAGAACAUCCUCUUGUUGCAUCUCCAUUUAACUUUAUUUUAUUUUUAAACAUUGCAGUCUAUAUUGGAUAUUCUUUGAGCUUUUUCAACAAAAUCCUACUUUAGCAUGGGUGGGGGAAUAUUCAGCAUGAGCAGGAAAUCAGAUGUGAUAAUUACAUGCCUGCUACUCAGCGUUUCUCAUAAAAUAGGCAAUAACAUGAAAUUUCGAUCUUUCAGUUGAAAAUACACAGAACCAUCCUGGACAGAGCCACCUUUAUUGGGAAAAAGUGAAUAGGGUUUUUGGAAUGGGAUUAAUUAGGCGAAGGAAGUAUAAGGACUUCUGCUUUCAGAGACAAAGUGCUUUGCAUCAUGAAUCUGCUUGUUAUUUAAGGGCGGAUGGGGGGGGGGGGGAAGAGCUCCUAAAAAUCAGAUCCCAAAGGAAGUUCAUUUUGGGUUUGACUGAAGCCAAGUACUGUAUCUCUAGCAUCUAAUGCGCAGAAACAUUUCUUCCCCCCUUCAAUUCUUUUCCAUGACCAACCGAAGAAAAUAAUUUCACACUAAUUAUUUAAUUUUCAAACUUGAAAUAUAUUCAAUGCAGAAAACGGUACAAAUGCCCAAUUCAUAGAUUCCUAAUUACAUGUCUUUUCAAUUAAAAAUAUAUCCAGAAUUUAUAUUUGGUGUAUAUUCCUAAUAAUCAGCUGUUUGCACUUUCAUAUAAAAAUAUCCAACAACCCAGGUACUCAUCUGUCGAUCUAGCUAUCUAUCCAGACAAAUAUAAAUAUGUUAAUGAACAAAAACUUUGUGUUUUCAUGUUAAAUAUUCCAGAAUUAAAACCCUCACAAUAUAUACCUUUAAAAGCACUGUUAAAAAAGCAAGUACUCUAGACUGUUGUUUUUUUUUUUUUUAAUGCUUGAAAUGGCAUUUGAGUUCCUUGUACAAAUCCACCAUCAGUAACAGGGAAUAAAAGGGUAUUCCAUUAGCAAAUAUCACAUUUAAUGCAAUCAUCUGAGUCAGAAAAAAGUUUGCGUUAAGAAAGGUUUUAUUUACAUGAUCCAGAUGUCGAUAUUUAUUUAGACUGGAGUUAAGCAGAGAUCUUUAAAUGAGCAAGUGCUUCUCUCUCACUCACUCUCUUUCGCUCUCUCUCUCUCUCCCCUUUGGCUCAUAUUGGUUUCUGAUAUUUUAAAAUGUGAUUUUAACCUAUCUGUGCACACAGAAGCAAUGCAAAAUCUUUGUUUAAUAGGACCUCCAUAUCCUUUUUUAUUAUUAAGCAUCAGAUUUCAUUCAAAGAAUUGCAAGCUAAUUUUCAGCAGACCAGAUUAUUCUGAAAUGGUUAACCUUUACAAUACAUAAAAACUAGGCCUGUCAUUAGAAUAAAUAAAUCCUAUUCAAAUAGCUGAAUGAGAUUUGGACAAUUAAUCAGUUAUAUUGCACAAAUGCAGUUGUACUAAAUGAAAAGGAAGCUUUGGGGUGAUGUUGAAAAUUGAAUCAGGUUUAUUUGUCAGGACCAUAUGACUUGACGUAAGUCAAGUUACACAAAUCGCAAAACCAAGAAUCUUGGAAACAGGCAGUUAGAAAUUUCUGACACGCACACACGUUUCUGCAACUGCAAAGCAAGCAAUCUUUUCUCUUCCUGGCAUUCAUUUUCUCUUUCUGAUUGGAGCAAUGGUCCUUCUCAAGGAAGUAAGAGUCUCCAAAUAUUUGAUAGCAUUUCUUUACAUAAGCAAAUAAUGCAAAAAAAGAAAAAAAGGAAAAGGAAAAGGUCCUCUGUUCCAUUCCACUCCUUCCCUGCAAGAACAGAAGUUUGAACCAAGACGUAGGCAUACUUUGAUAUCCAAGGGAUUUAAGUGAAUCGGGACUAAUUUAAGUACCACUGAUUUCAGUGGGUCUCUUCUAGGUAAAGGUAAAGGGACCCCAACCAUUAGGUCCAGUCAUGAGCGACUCUGGGGUUGCGGCGCUCAUCUCGCUUUACUGGCCAAGGGAGCCGGUGUACAGCUUCCGGGUCAUGUGGCCAGCAUGACUAAGCCACCUCUAGUGAACCAGAGCAGCGCACGGAAACGCCGUUUACCUUCCCGCUGGAGUGGUACCUAUUUAUCUACUUGCACUGUGAUAUGCUUUCGAACUGCUAGGUUGGCAGGAGGGGUCUCUUCUAAGCAUGGCUAAAUAUGGAUUCAACCCAGAGACCAGCAAAGAGAAGUUCUUGCACCACUGUGUUAAUUUCCUGAGCUGUGGUUACAGCAGUGGGGGAUAGUCCAUUAGGGCAAAUGUGGAACUGCCCCACCAACCACAGUCUGCCCUCAGCCAGCCCCACCUGCCUCCCUCCCUCCUUAGCAAUGAGUUCAGGGUGUGGAACUGCCUGUUAGCCUUUUCCUUCGUAGUGUCGAUGUUGCCCUUGUAAAACUCAGCAAGGAAGAGGACGGGGAGAGAACUAAAAUUAGCUGGCUCCACCUAUCAUGGACUCAGAAUCUACCUGCUGUUUGGGCUCCCUGCUUUCUGUCCUACCAGUACCAAUGGGCAUCAGCCACCACUAGAUUGCAGCAAACCAGGGGCGGGGCUUGUAGUCAUACCUCUUCACGGGAGUGAAAAUGUACGUACUUGAAAUGUGCCCUGGGUGGUUUUUAACCUUUGAAAGAUGGGUCUUUACUUGCAGGCAAAGAAAACAGAGAAGUAGUAGAGAAUCAGAGUCCAGAUAACAUUUGACUAUUUUGAGGAAUUGCAAAAUGUAGUAUUCACACCAUGGCUGAUUGUCAACCAAGAGGUUUCAAAUACAGAUUUACCCUGUACACAUGAAAGGCAAAGCAACGCCUAUUGUUUUUAUAUAAGCACAUGUCAUGGCAGACACUAGUUUAGAAGAGGCUUUUGGAUGUACUAUGAAGUCUUGAAUAACCAAAUGUGAAAAUACAUGACAGAUACUGCUGCUGCACUGAAUUUUCAUGGUGUACCAUGCUCACUACAUAAAUCUCUCAUUUGAAGCAGCAUAUGUUCCCAUGUUCAGGGAAGUUUUUAAUGUGUGACAUCUUAGUGUAAUUUUGGUCAUUGUGGAAGCCGCCCAGAGUGGCUGGGGAAACCCAGCCAGAUGGGCAGGGUACAAAUAAUAAAUAAUAAUUAUUACUAUUAGUCCAGUUUUUUUUUUGUUUUGUUCUGAAGAUGCCUGUUCUUGGUUUCAAUUUUGACAGUGGCAGCUCUUGGUUGAAACAGUGGUGGAGCUUCAUGCUCCGGCACUGGGGGGCGGAGAGCAGGUGGGGGCAUGGCUGGCGCAUGUCCUGGGGGCAUGGUGCGCCACCUGCAGGGGCAUGUCGUGUGUCCUGGGGGCGUGGCAUGCUGCCUGUGGGGGUGUGGCACCAGUGUGGGCAGGGGGGCAGCCACGAUGGCACCCCACUGGGAUUGCACUGCUGGGGGUUGUACGUUCCCCCCGCACUCCUCUUCCUCCACCAGUGGGUUGAAAAACAUGCUAUUGUUUUUGCACUGGAAUUCCCAUAGUGCAGUGGGUACUUCAGCUCUGGUGAAAAUACUAACUGGUAAUGCAUCUGAUAUAAGCAUGUGCAGAGUCCUUCAUUUUUUGUCAACACCUGUUCUGGACUUGGUUUGGCACAGCUGCUGCGCCUCAGAGGUCUCUUCCACAGAAUGUCCUAUGGAUAUUAGGCCGGCAAUAAAGUUCUGGGCCAGAAUUGCACUGGAAACAUUGUUAUAUACUGACAAAUAGAUAAUUAUUCCCUCCCCUUGAAUAUGAGCAGGCAUAAUCUCAGUUGUCUUUUCGGUGACAAGAAACCUCUUUCAAGAAACCUUCUGAGUUGAAAUCAUUCCCAGUCUGCAUCUGUAUUUGAAAUACUUUAAAGAUUAUUUUAUUAUUAUUAUUAUUAUUAUUACGUAGUUUGUUGCCCUGGACUCCUUUUAGAUGAAGGGUGAGAUAUAAAUUUGAAUAAUAAAUCAAUCAAUUUAUUUAUUAUCAGUGAUGGCUUACAGGCACACUCAUUUCUCAUGACAAAAUAUAUCAGAAAAACAAAAGGCAGAAUCAUAAAACUGUAGAGUUGGACAAGAUCCCAAGAGUCAUCUAGUUCAACUUCCUGCAAUGCAGGAAUCACAGUUAAAGAAUCGUUGACUGAUGGCCACCCAACCUCUGUUUAAAAACCCCUAAUGAAGGAGAGUCACAACCUUCCAAAGGAGUCCAUUCCACUGUUGAGCAGUUUUAACCAUACUCCUUUUUUGUAGUUUCAACCCAUUGGUUUGGGUCCCACUUCCUGCAGUAGGAGAAAUCAAGCUGGCUUCAUCUUCUGUGUGACAGCCCUUCAGAUAAUAGAAUAUGGCUAUCAUAUCAUGUCUCAAUAUUCUCUUCUGCAGGCUAAACAUGUCCAACUCCCUCAACUGCUCCUCAUAAGGCUUGGUUUCCAGACCUUUAUCAUCUUAGUACCCUUCCGCUGCCCAUGUCCCAGCUUGUCAAUAUCCUUCUUCAACUGUGGUGCCCAGAACUGGUUACUCCAGGUGUGGUCUGUGUGUAUAUUGAUAUAGUGUCUGGUUACCAAAUUCAUUUGAAAAAAGCACUCUACCCAUAUUUUGCAACUGUAGGUAUUAAAUAUGUCCACUUCCUCACCAUUUUCUUCUUUGGCGAUCACUCGUAGCCGAGUAAGAUUGUCUUCCAUAAACACAGUUUUAACAAUGAGUCCGUAAGUGACUGUGGAGGCCAAUUCUGGAUCCACACGUCCUUCCACAAUGGGGACCUUGGUUUCCGGGUGGGAGUUGAUCACGGUGUGGAUUUGCCAAGCGUGCCUUCCUCUUAGCACGUUUCUCCCUUGUGUCCUGAGUUCGAGUGUCUUCAAAGCCCAUGACACCUUUGGUAAAGGCUGUUCUCCAAUUAGAGUACUUGCAGGCCAGUGUUUCCCAGUUGUCAGUGUUUAUACUACAUUUUUUUAGAUUUGCAGCUCAGUCUGCCACUGGACCUGUUUGUCUGGGAGAAUAGCAGCUGUUUUGUGCAUUGUACAAGAAUCCAACUAUUUUGCUAGGGGAGAACAAAAGGAAAAAAUGAUUGGGGAGGGCUUGAAAACCAAGACUUGAUACUAGCCAUGAUGCUUACUGGGUGAUGUUGGGCCACAGAUAUGAGUAUAACAUGGGAAGAGGGGAUAAUUUUGUAUGCCACCCUGACCAUCUUGAAAGGAUGGAAUAAACCAUGUAAUGAAAACAAGGUCAAUUUAAAAUGAAAUCCUGUUCAAAUUAUGUCACAGAGACUUAAACUCCCCCCCCCCCGACCGUAUCGUUAUUUUGGAGUUAAUGGAUGUCUCUGUGCAGUGGGGUGGAGCAGAGUGGGAGAAAUUCCACAAUGUGAGAGCCACCACAGAGAAGACCCUGUGUUCCUUCAGUACACAAAGGGACACAGAACCUCCUCCAUAGAUGUUGUUAGAAUAUAAUGACUCUAUGUGAUAAGAUUGCUAGAUCAUUGUCAGUCCGCUUGUAGUAGUUGAGCCCAGGCCUAAUCCAUUAGGGCAAAAUGAGACGUCUUAUGAAGCAGACUUUAAAUUUUCAGAGCUGGGGCAGGAUGUAGGCAGCUGAUGCAGAACAGUGACGAAAAAGAAAAAAGCUUCAGUAGGAGGAUGACUCCGAUAAAUCCAAAACAUAAAUGGAAUUGGUUUCCCAAACCACUUUCUUUCAUUCUGCUGUUAACAAUGCAGAAGAACGUACAGGAGAAUGUCUUCCCUGAGACGUGUAAUAAGAAAACCAUAUUAUAAGCUGCAAUCAGUGAAUUAAUAAAUUUUUCUUCCUUCUGUUUUAUGCACAUACCCACUGCCAUCAAGACUCUUUUAUACCAUUAACUUCCACUGAAUUAUUCCUGGAAUGAAACCCAAUAUAAAUAGCACAUUGUCUCCAUUGUCUUAUGGGUAUUAUUUACCUGUAUCCAAUCUCAUGAGGAUUGAUUCAAACAAGUGAGAGCUAAUAGAGAUUAUUAAAAUUUCCAAAGGGGAAACAAAAUCUUUCAAUUAUGUCAGUGUCCUCCCCCCACUUCUUCCUCAUAUAUUAGCUUUAAUUAAACAUUGCCAAUAAAUGUGAUGGUCAUCAAAAUUCAGAAAAGGAAGUAGGGGAAUACAAAAGGCAGAGUUGCAUGAAAAUGUAUUUCACUGCUAAUGGUUCGCAGGAAAGCAUUAAAGCACAAAAGGAAGCCUUGUAUAGUUGGAAAGCUAAAGAGGUAAAAGACAAAUAGAAUAGAUAGGAUAAGUUUGAAGGAUGGGAAUGGAAAGUCACUUUCCAAGGCUCUGGUAUUUUAAUACCAGAAUAGGUAAAGGUAAAGGUACCCCUGCCCGUACGGGCCAGUCUUGACAGACUCUAGGGUUGUGCGCUCAUCUCACUCUAUAGGCCGGGAGCCAGCGCUGUCUGCAGACACUUCCGGGUCACGUGGCCAGCGUGACAAGCUGCAUCUGGCAAGCCAGUGCAGCACACGGAACGCCGUUUACCUUCCCGCUGGUAAGCGGUCCCUAUUUAUCUACUUGCACCCAGGGGUGCUUUUGAACUGCUAGGUUGGCAGGCGCUGGGACCGAACGACGGGAGCGCACCCCGCCGCGGGGAUUCGAACCACCGACCAUGCGAUCGGCAAGUCCUAGGCGCUGAGGUUUUACCCACAGCGCCACCCACAUCCCACACAAUACCAGAAUAGCUUUUGUUAAAUAGAACAGAACAGAAUAGAAACAUUUUGUACUAAGUUCUUCUGGGGGAAAAAAACUUCCAUUAAGUUAUGCAUUUAAAACUAAUGAAUUAGAGUGAGAUUGCAUACAUUUAGAGAAAUAUUGGACCUGUGGUCUAAUCAUGUCCAUUCAGACCUAACAUCGAUCGAUUUAAAUUCUGUGAAUGCUUUGUAAUCAUAAGGUCUCCAUACUGAACCUCAAAUCUCUAGGUAUGCAGGUUUUCCUCAAAUGUAAUCUGAUUUUAAAAAGCAACAACAACUGAAGAAUCAGCGAUAACUUCCCUGGUUCUUGAGAAGAGAGAAGGGAUUGGAGAAAUGCAGAAAGAAAAAAGACAGAAAGUAAAGAAGGCAGAACUGAAUUGUUUAUAGACAGCCCAUCACAAGAGCAGUGAACAAUAUAUAACCAGGAAUGGUGAUACAAUCAGGCAUAGGCAUACUGGCCCCUCUAGAUGUUUUGGGACUACAACUCCCAUCAUCCCUAGCGAACAGGACCAGUGGUCAGGGAUGAUGGGAAUUGUAGUCGCAAAAACAUCUGGAGGGCCGAGUUUGCCUGUGCCUGAACUAUAUAAUACAAUAAAAACAAUGCAACACAACCAGAAAACAUUACAACAAUGCAACACAACCAGAGAACAUUAAAGAUAGUAAGGCUAUUGUAGGACAAGCCUGACUUUAAAUGCCCAGGCAGGCAGAAAAGUUUUGACUGGUUCAAAGAGUAUUGCAGUGAACAUCCAGUAGGGUGUGUUAUUUCUCCUGCAACUUCUGGAUCUAGUCAGAGAAAGGCAUACACUAUAUUGUUGUUUAGCAAUUGGAACCUUUUCACUUAUUACAAUUUCCCCCUCCAUUAACUGAUUCUCCAUAUCCAUUCUUCUCAGGACUAGGCCAGAAUAUUAUUUCUCUUUGGCAGGCAGCCCCCGCCCUUUCAUUCAGGCCCUGAAUUACAAAUGCCAGGAUCUCAAGAGAUAUGUGUGAUUUCUAAAAGCAUCAAACCAAGAUAAUGUGUCUGCUUCACACGGGUUGAGGUUGUGACAAACAGAAGGGUGGGAAACCUUUUUCAGCCUCAGAGUCACAUUCCCUAAUGAGGAACUUGUCAGGGGUUACAUUCCGUAGGUGAGAGGAAAACAAUGAACAGAUCCAUGGAAAAUGACCUCAGUCAGCUCACUGGGCAGGAAGAACAGGGUGCAAAUUUAAUAAAGAAUAAAAAUAAAUAAUCUUACCUACAUUCUGGCCACACAAAAGUCACCUACACUCACCUCUCCACUCUGCAUUUAGGCAAGCAAGAGGCAUUAUUGCCAUUCAAGAGCCCUGCUGGAUCAGACCAAAGGCACACCUAGUCCAAAAUCUUGUUUUCACAGCUGUCAUCCAGAUGCACAUGGAAGUCCCACUAGCAGAACUUCAGCGCAACAGUACUCUUCAUGCUUGCGAUACCCAGCUACUGGUAUUAAAGAGGAAUACUGCCUCUGCCAGUGGAGCUAGUAAGUAGCAGUCAUUGCUAAUGGCCUUUCAUAGUCUUAUCCUCCAUGACUUUGCCUAAUCUUCUUUUAAACAGUUCCAAGCUGGUGACCAGUACUGCAUCUUGCGGAAAGCAAAUUCCACGGUUAAAAUAUGCACUGCAUGAAGAAAUACUUUCUAAAAACCUGUCCUGAAUCUUCCAACAUUCAUCUUCAUUGGAUUUCCACAAGUUCUAGUGUUAGGAGAGAGCGAGGGAACGGCCCAAGGUGAGCUUCAUGGCCAAGUGGGGAUUUGAAUCCUGGUCUCCCAUGUCAAAAGGGAUGUGGGUGGCGCUGUGGGUUAAACCACAGAGCCUAGGGCUUGCCAAUCAGAAGGUCGGCGUUCGAAUCCCCGUGACGGGGUGAGCUCCCAUUGCUUGGUCCCUGCUCCUGCCAAUCUAGCAGUUCAAAAGCACGUCAAAGUGCAAGUAGAUAAAUAGGUACCACUCCAGCGGGAAGGUAAACGCCGUUUCCGUGUGCUGCUCUGGUUCACCAGAAGCGGCUUAGUCAUGCUGGCCACAUGACCCGGAAGCUGUACGCUGGCUCCCUCGGCCAAUAAAGUGAGAUGAGCGCUGCAACCCCAGAGUCGGUCACAACUGGACCUAAUGGUCAGGGGUCCCUUUACCUUUUAAUCCCACGUCAAUGCCUCUGAACAUGAGUUGCUGGGAAUCACAAGUGGGGAGAGUGCUGUUAAGUUCAUAUCUUGCUUGUGGGUUUCCCCAAGGUAUCGGUGCCUGGAUAGCUCCGUUGGCUAGACGAUGGUGCUGAUCAUGCCAAGGUUGCAAGUUUAAUCCCCAUAUGGGAAAACAGCAUAUUCCUUUAUUGCAGGGGGGUUGGACGAGAUGAUCCUUAGGCUCCCUUCCAACUCUACAAUUUGAUGGUGCCAUUUUUUCUAUGAUCUGUUUGGCCACUGUCAGAACAGGAUGCUGGACUUUGGCCUGAUCCAGCUAAGGCAGGCAUGUUCAAAGUCCGUUUUGGGGACCUAAUUCAGCCCGCCAGUUGGUUUAAUCUGGCCCCUAUGGCAGUUUAUUUCCUGGGGUAAAAUCCUAAAAAAAAAAGUCAACAACUCCAGUCCUAAAAACAGGUCAACAACUUUGGUCGGCCCUUUGGUCGGCCCUCACAGCCCUUCACUUCAUCAGAUCUGGCCCUCUUUGAAAAAAGUUUGAACACCACUGAACUAAGGGAUCCAAUGGUUGUAGCUAGAGAGAAGAGAUUUGGGCACUCACAUGACCUUGUAAUCAUUUUCUUCAGAAAAAAAUCUUACUCUUGUAAAAAAGAAUAUUUCCAUAUCCAUUAAGGUAAAGGUAAAGGGACCCCUGACCAUUAAGUCCAGUCGUGCCUAACUCUGGGGUUGUGGUGCUCAUCUCGCUUUCUUGGCCAAGGGAGCCGGCAUACGGCUUCUGGGCCAUGUGGCCAGCAUGACUAAGCCGCUUCUGGCGAACCAGAGCAGUGCACGGAAACGCUGUUUACCUUCCCGCCAGAGCGGUACCUAUUUAUCUACUUGCACUUUGACAUGCUUUCGAACUGCUAGGUGGGCAGGAGCUGGGACAGAGGAACGGGAACUCACCCCAUUGCGGGUAUUCGAACAACCAACCUUCUGAUCGGCAAGCCCAAGCUCAGUGGUUUAACCAACAGCGGCACCCUUAUAUCCAUUACACAGAGUCAUAAAAUGCUCCCCUGGCAUUGGACUGGAGCUAAAGGGGAAACCUCUUCAUUCCUAGAGCCACUUUAUCUUCUAGGCAACUUUCAGGGUCACAUACCAGUAUUGGGUGGGGCCAGAGAAAAAAAAAGAGGUUGAAGCAAUGGAUACCAUUUUACAUUUGUACAGUAGGCUUACUUCUACACACACUGAUGCUCUCCUCUGUAUCCUCCAUUCAGACAAGCAAGAGGCCUGGUUAGUGUUCAAAGACACAUACCAGCCAGACACAAGCAGUCCAAGAGGGUGCCAGGCAGGACUGGCAAGGGUGUGGCCUGAGAAGAGUCCCGAGGGCCAGGCACAGAGGCUCGGGCAGCCACAUUUGCCCUAUGGGCUUGAGACUCCCAUCCUUGGGCUAAAACAAAAAGGAUUAGUGGAUUCUUUAAUCAUGAAAGACCAUUUUCAGCAACUGCUUAAAACAUUUUUGUUUAGGCAAGCCUAACCAAACUGGUAUUAUUAUUAUUAUUAUUAUUAUUAUUAUUAUUAUUAUUAUCUCCCCUGCCUAUCCAAAUUGCCGAUGUGUUUUAAUUUCACUUCUUGUUAAUUAUAAUUAUUUUAAAAUGAUUUACAUUGUUUACAACGGUUUUUAUUGAUUAUUUUAAUAUUUAUUGUAAACUACUUAGAAGUGUUACUGUAAUCAAGCGGUAUAUACCGUAUUUUUCCAUCUAUAAGAUGUCCCCAUGUAUAAGACACCCCCUAUUUUGAGGGACUCAGAUUUAAGGAAAUGGGGAAAGAUGGCCCAGAGUAUAAGAUACCCCCUAAUUAUUGACAUUAUUUUUUAGGAAAAAACCUAGUCUUAUACACGGAAAAAAACAGUAAAUUUUGCUAAACAAACAAAUAGUGGGUAGAAUAAGAUUCUUGGAUAAUCAUUAAGUGGAGAACUAUAAAUCAUAAAACACUUUGUACAUGCACAGCUUCCUCUCAAAUAUCUUAGUGACAGCGGGUGCAAUCAUCUCAGAACUUCUGUCCUCUAGACUUUCCAUUCGCUUUAAUGGGGGUUGUGUAGGAGAUGUUGCCAGUGGAUUUUGCCUUGUGUUUUAGAAGUUUUACUAUUAACUCUAUAUUUGAUUUUAUCUGAUUAUGACAUAAAUGCAGGCACAUUAAGUGGGCUGAUGUCAGCAAUCAGGACUGCUUGUUACACAACAUCAGUAACAGGGACUCAGGUGUGAAACAACUGUAAUUAUAGGUAUUUAGCCCAAAUGUACGUCAGUUGUAACUGAUUAGCUGUGUGAGUCUUUAUAGUUAAUUGAAAUACUUUAUCAAUGAAUGUCUUGACUUAGCAGCAAUACUAACAACAUAAACAUGAGAUUCAGCUGACAGGAGAAAGAGUUCCCUCCAUGUUAAUGUGCUUAUUCCUCUUGCCCAUUUUCUUUCAUUUUCACCAUGUUGCUUCAUCUGGGGCUGGGGCCAAGUCAUGGCGCAGAGUGAUGAUGCCAGAUGUGCCUGCUAAGGAAAACUGCACAUCAAGGACAAAACUAUGACAUAGAUGGAAAGGCGAGCCAUUGUGGUGUAGCGGCACCUUUUCUCAACCUUGGGUCCCCAGAUAUUGUUGGACUACAACUCCCAUCAUUCCUAGCUACCGGGACCAGUGGUCAGGGAUGAUGGGAGUUGUAGUCCAACAACAUCUGGGGACCAAAGGUUGAGAAAGGUUGGGUUGGCAGGGGUGGCCAACUCCCGAGAGACUGCAAUCUACUCUCAGAAUUAAAAACUGGCAGUGAUCUACCCCCUUUUUUGGGGUUCAGGUCUAAGUUGUUGAUCUUUUAUUAGGGUGGAGGAAAGACCCGUUUUUAGGGGUGCAGGGCAAAGUUGUUAAGCUUUUAUUAGGGAGGAGGAAAGUCCUGAUUUUUGAGAAUUCAAGCCUAAGCUCAGUGUUAGUUUCUGUUUCCUCACUGUGCAGCUGCUUGCAGUCACAGGACUCUGUUUACAUUCCACAGAGUCCAGAUACUAGAAGUGGAAGCCCCACUCAGCCAUGAAACUCACUGGGUGAUUUUGGGCCACUCAUUCAUUAUCAGCCUAACCUACAUUACAAGGUUGUUGUAAGAAUAAAAUGGGGGAGGGGGGAAGGAGAACAAUGAGCCUGGUGCUCCUUGGAGGAAAGAUGGGAUUGAUUGAUUGAUUGAUUUACUGUGACGCCCUUCAUCCAAGGAUCACAAUGCAGUUUACAAUAUAAAAACACAAAAAUACAUACCAUAGUAGCUAACAAAAACAAGACCCCCCAACACCACUUUAAAAGACAAUAGAUCGCUUAAUUAGCCAAAGGCCUGGGAGAAGAGGAAGGUGCCAGGUGAGCCUCCCUUGGGAGAGUAUUCCACAAGCAGGGAGGCACCACAGAAAAGGCUCGUUCUUGUGUUGCCACCCUCCAGGCUUCUUGCAGAGCAGACACACAAGGAAGGACCUCAGAUGAUGAUUACAGCAUCCAGGUUGGUUCAUAUGGGGAAAGGCGGGUCCCUGAGGCACUGCAGUCCUGAGCUGUUUAAGGCUUUUAACAAUGAAAUACAUAAAUGAUAUGAAUGUGACCAACAACUUCCUUUUAGACCUCAUUGCAUGGCACUUCUUCCCAGGGAGCAACUCCAAGGCAGAGGGCCCUAUAUUGAUACAGAUCAGCAUGACCCAACUUUUCUCCAAGAGUGUCCAAGGCCUACUUUGAAGUAUAUUAUGCUGCAGAUCACUCAAAGGAGGCAGGCAUUUAAUUCUACCAUUGAGCUUGGAAGCAGACUUCUGACAUGAGAAAUCUGUCGCGCCGCACCUCUCCAGUCGCCAAGACCAUACCCUCCAACAUUUCUCAGAUGAAAAUAGGGGCAUUUCUCACCCCAUUUUUUGUCCCCCAUAAGCAUUUUGUAUCCGAAUAAGGGUGAAUGCCUCUACCACUACCCCCAAAGGGUCACAGCACACACAAACACACCAUUCACUACCCUGAGAAAACCACUUAAUCCUGGUUUUAUUUUAUUCUUUGUUAGAAUGACAAACAGAAAUGCACACUAAUAAAUAAGUUUUAGAAAGGGCAAGAUUAGAUGUGGAUGUACAAAGCAUUUUUUAAAAAUAUAAAUCAAAACUCCUUGUGUUCUGCUCCUCCUUUCUUCCUGCUUCACAGAAUUGGCAUGCCAUGCAAAGCUGGGUCUCAGUGGCUGCAGCUUCACUGCUUACAAGCAGCCACUACAAGCUGCUCAAAGGAGGAGGUUGGCAGUGGCCACCAUGUGGAGGCCAUGGAGAGGCAACAGGAUGUUCUCUCACAGCUGCCACCAUCGCUCGGGACAAACGCCUGCUCAGCCUCUUCCCUGAGCUCGGUGGCGGCAUUGGCAAGGGAAAUUGGGAUAUUCCAGGAUCAAAUCAGAAGCCAGGAUGGCUUUCAUAAUUCCAGGAUUCUCCCUGGAAAAUAGGGACACUUGGAGGGUAUGCAAGACUCUCCAUUCCCUUAGUUGAUGGCCAUGGAGGGAACUGUGUGUGUUUGUGUUUGUUGUCCAGCAGUGUGGAACAGGAUGAGAUAUUAAGCAACGCGACACAUGUAAUCUAGCUAAUCUUGUUUUGAUCUCUGUAAUCAGAUUAAAACUGAUCCCUAGUGGGUUUUGUAAGAGAUGUGCUACAAUGAAGUAUUGAUGUACCCUGCUCAAUCCAAGAGAAGUGGAGCUCUCUAGACCUAAGGCCCAGAAUACCAGAAAGUUAUGGAGUUAAAGCCAUCGUAAUCACUGCAUCUGAAGAAGCAUAACUCCACCAUUAGCCAAUUUACUGAGAAAAGCAGCCCAUUUUUAAUUAAAUUAAAGCCAGUGUGGUGUAGUGGUUAAGAGCGGUAGUCUCGUAAUCUGGGGAACCGGGUUCGCGUCUCUGCUCCUCCACAUGCAGCUGCUGGGUGACCUUGGGCCAGUCACACUUCUCUGAAGUCUCUCAGCCCCACUCACCCCACAGAGUGUUUGUUGUGGGGGAGGAAGGGAAAGGAGAAUGUUAGCCGCUUUGAGACUCCUGAAGGGGAGUGAAAGGCGGGAUAUCAAAUCCAAACUCUUCUUCUUCUUCUUCUUCUUCUUCUUCUUCUUCUUCUUCUAAAUUGGUGGAAACCUUUGACUUAGUAAUAGGGCACACCACUGAUAUCUAUACAUUCAUGUGUGCUACAUGUCUGUUUAUUCCAGCUCUGGCCUUGCCUGCUUUGACUCCACCCACUUUUAUUGGCCCCGCCCAUGCAGCCCCUGAAAAAUAGAUCAUGAGGGAAUCAUAGACUCAUAGAAGCAGACCCUCCAAGUGUCCCUAUUUUCCAGGGAUGUCCCUGAUUUAGAGAAGCUGUCCGAAUUCUGAUUUGAUCCCGGAAUGUUCCACUUUUCCUUAGGACGUCCCUCUUUUCAUUGGAGAAACAUUGGAGGGUAUGGUAGGAUGUUCCUAUUUUCAUUGGAGAAAUACUGGAGGGUGUGGAGUUAUCUGACUCCCGAGUCGUCUGAAGGCAAUCCUGUAUAGGGAAGUUUUUUUAAAAAAAAUAAUUGAAUGAUUUAUUAUGUUUUUAUGUAAGUUGGAAACUGCCCAGAGUGGCUGGGGCAACCCAGUAGGAUGUGUGGGGUAUAAAUAGUGCAAUUAUCAUUAUAGAAUGAGACAUCCCUAUUUUCACUGGAGAAAUGUUGGAGGGUAUGAGAAUGUAGAAUGAGAAAAUGGUUUGAAGCUCAAAAUCAAAAAAACGAAGAUCAUGGCCACUGGUCCCAUCACCUCCUGGCAAAUAGAAGGGGAAGAAAUGGAGGCAGUGAGAGAUUUUACUUUCUUGGGCUCCAUGAUCACUGCAGAUGGUGAGAGCAGCCAUGAAAUUAAAAGAUGCCUGCUUUUUGGGAGAAAAGCAAUGACAAACCAUCUUAAAAAGCAGAGACAUCACCUUGCCAACAAAGGUCCGUAUAGUUAAAGCUAUGGUUUUCCCAGUAGUGAUGAAUGGAAAUGAGAGCUGGACCAUAAAGAAGGCUGAUCGCCGAAGAAUUGAUGCUUUUGAAUGAUGGUGCUGGAGGAGAUUCUUGAGAGUCCCAUGGACUGCAAGAAGAUCAAACCCAUCCAUUCUGAAGGAAAUCAGCCCUGAGUGCUCACUGGAAGGACAGAUCAUGAAGCUCAGGCUCCAGUACUUUGGCCACCUCAUGAGAAGAGAAGACUCCCUGGAAAAGACCCUGAUGCUGGAAAAGAUGGAGGGCACAAGGAGAAGGAGAUGACAGAGGACAAGAUGGUUGGACAGUGUUCUCGAAGCUACCAGCAUGAGUUUGACUAAACUGCGGGAGGCAGUGGAAGACAGAAGUGCCUGGUGUGCUCUGGUCCAUGGGGUCACGAAGAGUUGGACACAACUAAACAACAACAACAAGAACAACAACAAAUGAGAAUGUAGAGCUGGAAGUGAGCCUGAGCAUCAUCUAGUUCAAUCCUCUGCAAUGCAGGAAUCCUGUCCACAGCUGUCCCUAGGUGGGCCUGAGAUACACUGACCCAUUAUGUCACUGGAGCAGCAAAACAUUAAAAAGAGCCUGCUGGAUCAUUCCAGUGGUGCUUCUAGCCCAGUAUCCUGUUCACACAGUGACCAAGCAGAUGACUGUAGGGAACUCACAAACAGGACCUCAGCACGAGAGCAUUCUGCUCUCCUGUAAUUUCCAGCAACUGGUAUUCAAAGGCAUAAUGCCUCUGAUAGUAGAACACAGCCAUUGCAGCUAAUACACCUUGAUAGCCUUACCCCCCAUGAAUGUGAUGCAAUCCUCUUUUAAAGCCAUCCAAGUUGGUUGCCAUCACUGCCUCCUGUGGCCACCAAGUUCCAUAGUUUAAACCAUGCACUGUGUGAAGUACUUCACACUAUUCUAGGCUGCAUCAAUAGAAGUACAGUGCCUAGAUCAAGGGAAGUAAUAGCACCACUCGCGGGUGCCGCUGUGGGUUAAACCACAGAGCCUAGGACUUGUCGAUCAGAAGGUUGGCGGUUCAAAUCCCCAUGAUGGGGUGAGCUCCCGUUGCUCGGUCCCUGCUCCUGCCCACCUAGCAGUUCGAAAUCAUGUCAAAGUGCAAGUAGAUAAAUAGGUACCGCUCCGGCGGGAAGGUAAACGGCAUUUCCGUGCGCUGCUCUGGUUUGCCAGAAGAGGCUUAGUCAUGCUGGCCACAUGACCCGGAAGCUGUACGCCGGCUCCCUCGGCCAAUAAAGCGAGAUGAGCGCCACAACCCCAGAGUCGGCCACGCCUGGACCUAAUGGUCAGGGGCCCCUUUACCUUUACCUUUAUUCUAUUUCUAGUCCUGAUAGACCUACAUUGGCUCCCUUUACCUUUACCUAUUCUGCCUUAGUCAGACCACACUUGGAAUAUUGUGUCCAAUUCAGGGCACCAAAAUUUAAGGAGGAUGUUGACAAGCUGGAACGUGUACAGAGCAUAGCUUUUCUUGCGAGGAAUCCUAUUUGGAAUAAGGGAAUUUUCCUUAAAAAAAGGGAAACGUUGACAGCUAUGGUACAGAGGAGGGCAACCAAGAUGAUCAAGGGUCUGGAAACCAAGCCUUAUGAGAAACGGUUGAGGGAGCUGGGUAUGUUUAGCCUGGAAAAGAGGAGACAGAGGAGAUAUGAUAGCUAUCUUCAAAUAUCUUAAGGGCUGUCACAUGGAGGAGGGCGCAAGCCUGUUUUCUCUUGCUCUGGAGGACUCAAACCAAUGGCUUCAAGUUACAAGAAAGGAGAUUCCAACUAAACAUCAGGAAGAACUUUCAGAUAUUAUGUGAGGUAUUUUUUUAUUUUAUUUUAUAUUCUUUAUUGAAAAAUAAAAAGUACAAAAGUACGAGUGCGCAGAAACAAGUGCACAGACACAAAAAACUGAAGAAACAAAAAAUAGUAUGCUUUUAAAAAACAGAACAGAACAAUAUUGUGUACAUUACAAAAAGGGGGCGGGCUUGUUAUUAUAGUUAACCAGACCUUAAUCUAAUUUGGCAUUUAUAAAAACGAAUUCCAAAUGAAUUCCAAAUAUCGUUAAACUUGUCCAUGGCGAGUCUACAUUUGUAAGGUAUGUCAAGGAGAGAGAUAAUGACUGGCUCAACAUUAUACAGCUCGCUUCACGGCUGAGAGGGAACUUGCAUCCCAUCGAUCCAAGUCCAGCCACAGCACCACAGUGGGCCCGCAGCUGAGAAUUAUUAGAAGCUAUUUGAAGCGAUAAUGAAACAGCAGAAGCAGCAUUGUUAAGGACGAUAUAAUGAAUUAAUCCUAUGAAAGCCUUUAACGUUCCCAAACAGAGGCAGUCAUGGGAAGAGCUUCAUCUGUUGAAUUUCCGCCAGCAACACAGCUGUAAAAUUCACAAAAAUCCACCCAGGAGAGAGAGAGAGAGAGAGAGAGAGGGGGGGGGGAGGGAGGGAGGUAAUAAUCCCAAUGAGCUUCCAAAUAAAUGAACACAUAGCCUGGAGAUGCGUCAGUGGAAGAAGAUGCUUCAUAAGAAAUGCAGCUUGCUUAUUUAAAGGUACUUUUUCAGGCUCCUUGCCAAGAUUUUUCUAAGAGCUGCUCCUUGAAGUAGCAGCCUGGAAGUGAAAUAUCAACUAGGCAGGGCCCUCAUAUGGCUGUGUAUGCACGCUUUGUAAUAACUGCUGUUACCCUGAUUUUUUUUCAAGAAAUGUCUCCAAUGAAAGCUCAAUUUUUAAUAGCAAUGCAAGCUUGUUUGUUUCCAUGAUUGCAGCUGUAAAUAAGAAAACAACAUUGCCCCGGGGGCACUGAUGCAAGGGGGGAGGGGAAGCAUUGUUUAAUGUGGGUUUUCUUUGGAGACCCAGCAUUCCCCCCCCCUUGAGGGCAAUGUGUAGACAGGCUAUGCAAAUUACAGCUCCCCCAGCACAGUGAGAAAGGGGCCUCUCUCCAUCCAGCUCAUAUUAAGGCAGCCUGAAAUGGAGAUUAACAAGCUUGGUAAUUAGGCAAGCUGAAAGCCUUCCUAACACAUUGCACCUUUCCAAGGCUGUGUGUUGAUUAUUAUUACCUCAACACAAUGGCCUCCAAGUACAGUUCAAUGAUUUAAAUAUAAAGCACAAACUAGGCACCCACCUUUGCACAGGUUUGGUAGAGGUAUGUGGCUGAAAGAGCAGGCUGGGCUACCCCCCCUUUUUUGCAAAAACAAAAUCAGUGAAUAGAAGUAUUCCAUUUGAAUAAGGUAUUAGUGGAGCUGGACAGCAACUAUCUCAGCAAUAUUCCUUAGUAUGGGGGUUGCUACAUUUUUUUCUCCGAACCUGGAAGACCUAUUUUCACAGCUGUGUGAUGGGCAGAAAUUAAACCUCUUUCUUCAUCAGUCCAUCUCUCCCCCCCCCCCCCCCACAAAACUCACCUAGUGAAUUUCCACUUGAUGCAAUUAAAAGCAGCAGAGCCUUGCUGGAAUAGAGCGGCAACUCUAUUUUUUAGACUGAGCAAAGGUGUAGCAAAGGAAUGUUUCCAUGGAGCUCUUGAACCCAUUGAUUGGUCUUCAGAUGCCCUUCAAACGAUCUUUUGGAAGACCCGGGUUUUUUUUGGUACAAUCCUGGAUCUGUCAGCUGUAUAAGAGACAGUGAAAAAUGUUCCACACAGGCAGAGUGCUCAUUAAUGGUUCCUCACUGUCCUGGAAAAAAGUGACAAGUGGAGUUUCAAAGGGUUCUGUCCUGGGCCCAUUGUUGUUCAACAUAUUUAUAAAUGCUUUGGAUGAAGGUAUUGCAGGGAUGCUCAUCAAAUUUGCAGAGGACACCAAACUGGGAAGGGCAGCCAAUGCUGCUGAAGACAGCAUCAGGAUUCAAGUUGACUUGAAUAGAUUAGAGAAGUGGGCCAAAACUAACAAGAUGAAUUUAAUCAUGGACAAAUGUAAGGUUCUAUACUGAGGCUGCACAAAUAUAAGAUUACAGACAUCUGAGCUGCCAGUAGUACAUGUGAAAAGGAUCUUGGGGUCUUAGUAGACCAAAAGCUUAACAUGAGUCAACAGUGUGAUGCAUUAGCAAAAAAUGAGCUAAUUCUAUUCUAGGUAGCAUCAACAAAAGUAUACAAUCCUGAUCAAGGGAAGUAAUAGUGUUGCUCUGUUCUGGAUUGGUCAGAUGACACCUGGAAUACUGUGUCCAAUUCCGGGCACCAUAAUUUAAGAAGGAUAUUGACAAGCUGGAAAGUGUACAGAGAAGGGCACAAAAUGAUCAAGGGCCUGGAAACCAAGCCUUAUGAUGAACAGUUGAAGGAGCCUGGUAUGUUUAGACUGGAAAAGAGCAGACUGAAAGGAGAUAUCUUAACCAUCUUCAAAUAUCUCAAGGGCUGUCACAUGGAAGAGGGAACAAGCUUGUUUUCUUCUGCUCUGGAGACUAGGACCUGAACCAGUGGAUUCAAGUUACAAGAAAGGAUAUUCUGAUUAAACAUCAGGAAGAACUUUCUGACAAGAGCUGUUUGACAGUGGAAUGGACUUCCUCAGGAAGCUGUGGACUCUCCUUCCUUGCAGGUUUUAAAGCAGAGGUUGGAUGGUCAUCUGUCAUGAAUGCUUUAAUUGAGAUUCCUGCAUUGGAAUGACCUCGAGGUCCCUUCCAACUCUACAAUUCUAUGAUUCCCUGCAUUAUUUGGCUUGGCUGGUUUGUUCCAGUCAUUUGGAACUCUGUGCUCUAGAAGCAUUUUAUUUUGCUGCAGCAGAGCUGAUUGCUUGUUGGCGCAUUCUAUUUUAGGCUCUGUAGGCUGACAUAGUGGACAGCUGAUGGGUGCAUUUGUUUAUUUCCAGCCUUAAAAAAAACCCAACCCACAUGAUUUGCCUACAUGGUUACUCAAAGCAAGAAAUAAAAAUGCACAAAACUACAGUAACUAACAAUGGAAAUCCUGCAAUCAAAGAGAGUAAACAACUAGCAAAGAGUACUAAAAUAAGUCAUGCCUAAAAACAACCUCUACUGAACCAAAAACCUUAUUUUAUGAGGUUCGCUAGAGCUCUGAAGGUCAAAAUGGAGCUGGCCAGAUGGGUUAGAGAGUUCCAGAUCUGUCAUCAAGUUCCAGAUCUGCCAGAUAGUUUCUUUAAAUGUGACAUCCUCUGUUAAAAGGUGAUGCAAGAGGUUAUGGAAAGGACACUGCGUUUUUCUUAUUAAGAGAUGAAUACUGAGGGGAAACAAGAAAGGGGAACUGUGUGUGUCCAAAUGGUGUCUGAGAGUGGCCAGAGAAAAGUUCUUCUCCCUCUGUUAUAACACUUGAACUGUAUCAACCUCCUAUGAAGAUGAAUGUUGGAAGAUUCGGGACGGAUAAACAAAAGUACUUUUUACAAGCAGUGCAAAAUGGAACUUCCUCCCACUAGAGAGGAACUUAAAUGUCUUUAAAAGGGGAUUGGACAAAUUCAUGGAGGAGAGGGCUAUUGAUGACUGGAAACCACAGAAGGGGAGGGUGCUCUUGGGCUCAAAUUCUGCUUGCUGGCUUCCCAAAGGCAUCUGGUUAGACUAGAUGGGCCAUUGGUCUUAUCUAGCAGGCUGUCCUUAUGCAGGCAGCCAACCACCGAGACCCUGUAGUUGCCUCAUGCUGCUGUGGCCUGUCUUCCUCUUGAGGUGGGUUGCCUGCCCAGGUCAUGUGCUCCUAAUCAAGCUAUUCUCCCCUCGCCCUCCCCUCCCUGAACUUCUAAUUAAACGUAGCAGUCUUGAGAGAUCAAGCCAUACAUCCCCCUUUUAAAAUCACACCCUGGUUUGUAUUGGCUGCUGCGCAAGGCUGAGAAUGGAUAUUACAGCUUUUUAUGAUAUAAUAUCCCCUUAAUUGGUGCUUCAUAGGGCUGCGCCUGAAAUUCUUGUCCAUUUCAUCCUAAAACUCCAGCCUGCGAUUUUCUCCCUGACCUCAGCGUGCUGGAAAAAGCCAUUCAGAGGCAACAAGGCGACUGGUAUUGCACAAUUCCAAAGUACCUUAAUGUGUCAAAAAUGUUUGGGGGAAGAAAGCGCCACUGUAAAUGCAAUCACCUACAUUGGUGUCCCCUUUGUCAAGCGAGAGGCAAAGUAUUGCUAAUUGUCCUGCGUUUUAGCAGGGUUUUUAAAGCAUUAUGUAGUAAGUACACCGAAGGGUCAAUUUGUGAAGUGAAAUACUUAGCAUGCAAAGCGUCAUACAAGAUGCUGUGUAAUACUUGACCUCUCAGCAUAAUAAAUGUAGCAGUGAAACGCUGUGCAUUCAGCCGGGCCUGAAUAGAGCCUCCGCAGAGGAACAAAACCAGAAAAUGUUCUCUUCAUUCCCUUCCCUUUUUUUCCACUAAGCGAAAAUUAUUCUUUAUAAUGGCCAUUGCAGCAAUUAGCCAGCAUUUCGGAGGGUGGGGGGAGAGAAAGGGAGAGAGAGAAGGAGAGAGAAGGAGGGAGAGAGGGAGGGAGAUGGCGAAUAAAUGUGCAGAAAUAGCAAAUUUCUUAGUGGAAACGGGAGUUUGUAUGGAGGGCUGCAAAUUACUUGGAGGUAUGUGAAUAAUGGUGGCCCGAGUUCUCCCUGCUGCAGAAUAUGGUGUGGGUGGGUCUACAGAUUUCCUCUUUGCAGCAAAAUGUUUAGACAUUUGACUAUUUUAAUUUUACUCACAGUCUGGCUCAAUUGACCUUGUUUCCCCCCAUUGAUCAUUUCUUGUGUGCCUUGGAAGCAAGCGUGCACAUGACCGGGGGGGGGGGGGGCUUCCAAUUAGAGCCGUGUGUGACAUGCAAGUACAAUCAAGGGCUGUCCACUGAAACUGCUCCAGGAUUUUAAAUCUGGCUUCCCAGAUCAAUACAUUUUAAUAAUUCAGCAUGCUUAGCGAGCAAUUGCAGGUCUUUGCAACGGACUGCCUAAUUAAAGUUUGAUUUAUAUUUUUAUUUUUUAAAAAAGUUUAACUUUCCGAAAGUUUACCUUCUCAACAACAACAACAACGUAAAGCCCAGCUUCUUUAUCAAAAGCGUGGGAAGAGGCACUAACACCUCUCGUUAACUGUAUCAUCCAGACAGUGAGCAAAAUUUUGGGAAGUUGCAUUAAAAAAAUGUUGUGCAUGCACACACACUCUCAAAAGUUUGGCAAGUCCCUGGUGGUUUGGUGCAGUUUCUUUUGUCUCUGCGAAAAUAAAGGAGUUUCGUGCACAGCAGCCGGAGCAAAGCAUUAUUGCUUCUGAACAAGGACAGAUAUCAAGCGUUUUCUUUAAAACCACUGCAUCAUUUAUGUGUAAGGCAUAACUUCGUUUAAAAACAGCUAGUUCUCUAUUUUAAUCUCUCCCUCCCCCUUCCCUAAUUGCCUCUGCUAAUGAGUUUCAGCAGUUGCCUCUGACAGUAGUCAUGGGGUGAUUGGUGUUCUUCCUUACAAGCAGUUAUUUCACCUAAUGCAGAUGUGAGUAUCUGCUUUUUCAAUAAUAUUGAAGUCCUUAUCAUCUAGAGUUUAAGGAUUGCAUAAGAUUUAAUGGGCAAUUCAUUUAGUGUUUUCCACAUGGCUAUUUACAGAUAUGGUAGGGGUUUUUUGGUUGGUUGGUUUUUUAACAGAAGGUGGGUUUGGAAUAAAGCAUCUCAGUGUUAUUUUUUAUUAUUUAAAUUUUAAAAGAUUCUGAACUCUUCAAAAAGACAAAGCACAAAGAAAGUUCCCACGCCUGCAAAACCACAAAAUGGUUGGAAAUAGUUGAAAGCAAAAAUGGUUGAAAGCAAUAGAGAGGUUUGAUUAGGAUCCUCUGCUAAUAUGGAUUUCUGUGCAUUGCAUAUUUUAAUUGCAGCUGUCUCCAGUGAAAAGGGUUCUACGUAUACUGAUAAACUUGUUGUCAAUUAUUUGUGUUUCAUUUGAUUCAUAAUGUGUUUAAGGGUGAUUUUAUAAAGGAUAAAUGAAUGGUCUGUAUUACUUGGUGUAGAGAAGGUUCCCUUCAUUAUCAAAUAAUGUGAACUGUAUUCAAAUGCUUUAAUAUUUUAAUUAAUCAAUUCCUUUCAUGGCAGCAAAUGCAAUUAACCAAAAUAUUCUAUGCACUAGACAAUUCUACAAAAGACUGGAGAACCUUACAAUCAAAAUGCUUUUUCAGCUGCCUAAGGAUAAUCAUCUUUUCUCCCUAUCUAGUGUAAGUUUAUUUCCAGAAGAUAAAACAAGCAUUGGCUAUGAAUGGAAGAGAAUUUGGCACCGGAUAGUAAGUAUCAAAAAGUAUGACCUAACAUUUGACUUAAAGUCCCCAUAGAACAUGAAUAGCCAGUGAAUUAUGAAACUUCCAUAAGGUAAACAUGGAACUAUCUUUGCCUGAAGGUCUACAAAAGCCUAGAUCUUAGCAUCUUCUGAAAGAAGUGUGAAAAGGUACUGUUCUAAGUGCAUUAACUUGAAAGUAAGUCUACCUAUAUUUCCAUACAAGAGAAUAGUCAAGGUGCCAUACCACGGUAAGAAUAUACAACUAGGGAGGCCUGAUGAAAAAGAGAACAGGAGUCCCACCCUCUUUUUAUUUUUUAUUUUUAUUUUUUUGCAUCUGGCUAUCCUAGAUGCAGCAACAGCAACAACAAAGUAGCUAAAGUAGAAUCUUAAAAUAACUGUGAAAACAAGCAACACCAGUAAGACGGCAACUAUGUAAAAGCACCAGCAGACAGCAGCAAUAAAAUACAUCAUAUGGAGCCCACAAAUAGAAACUGUUUUAGUGAGAAAGGAAAGGAAAGGAAAGGAAAGAGGGAAACUUUGGAGGCUAUUCCCUAAAUUGGGUGCCAGCACCAAUAACCACAUGUCUCUCAUUUCCACAACAGCUACAACAAGGGUGUUUGUUUACACAUCACAAAAAAAGGUUUCCACAAAAUUUGCAAAUGCUAAUUUAUAUGUAAGAUGGAUAUUUUACAACAACAACAACAACAACAAUUUAUUAUUUAUACCCCGCCCAUCUGGCUGGACCCCCCCCCACUGGGUGGCUCCCAACAUAAUACUAAAAACACGAUAAAAGAUCAAACAUUAAAAACUUCCUUAAACAGGGCUGCUUUCAGAUGUCUUCGAAAAGUCAGAUCAUUGUUUAUUUCCUUGACAUCUGAUGGGAGGGUGUUCCACAGGGUGGGCGCCACUACCGAGAUGGUCCGCUACCUGGUAACUUUGCUUCUUGCAGAGUGGGAACCACCAGAAGGCCCUUGGAGCUGGACCUCAGUGUCUGGGCUGAAUGAUGGGGGUGGAGACCCUUCUUCAGGCAUACUGGGCUGAUGCCAUUUAGGGCUUUAAAGGUCAGCAGCAACACUUUGAAUUGUGCUCACAAACGUACUGGGAGCCAAUGUAGGUCUAUCAGGACUAGAAAUAGAAUAAAGGUAAAGGUAAAGGGGCCCCUGACCAUUAGGUCCAGUCAUGGCUGACUCUGGGGUUGCGGCACUCAUCUCACUUUAUUGGCUGAGGGAGCCGGCGUACAGCUUCCGGGUCAUGUGGCCAGCAUGACUAAGCCGCUUCAGGCAAACCAGAGCAGUGCACGGAAACGCCGUUUACCUUCCUGCCAGAGGGGUACCUAUUUAUCUACUUGCACUUUGACGUGCUUUCGAACUCCUAGGUUGGCAGGAGCAGGGACCGAGCAACAGGAGCUCACCCCGUCAAGGGGAUUCGAAUCGCCGACCUUCUGAUCGGCAAAUCCUAGGCUCUGUGGUUUAACCCACAGCGCCACCCACGUCCCAUAUAUAGAAUACAAAUAGAAUACAACUCAUCUAAGUGAGGAAGACGGGGACUAGGAAACCCAUUGGUCUGGUGUCAAGGUGCUAAUGGUUGAUACAGUGGCGUAGCGUGGGGAGUGCAGGGGGGGCCGGCCGCACCGGGCGCAACAUCUGGGGGGGCGCGCUCGCACUCGCAGCUCUCUGCCCCUACCUGGCUCACUCUCUCUCUCUCACUGCAGUGCUGGCUGUGCGAAUCCGAUCCGAGCCGCUGGGUCGCCGCCCACUGUGGAGGGGGUGGGUGCCAGGCGUGCGGUGCGGAGAGAGAGCGAGGGACUAUCUGGGGGAGGGACAGUGCAGCGGCCGCCCAGCGCAGCGCUGAGCGCGGGAGAGAACCACACCAGACCAGACCAGGCAGCAGCAAGAAGAAGCUGGCAGCGGCGGCAGGUUAGGGGUUGGGGGGCGCAAAUUACUUGCCUUGCCCCGGGUGCUGAUAGGCAAGUUGAUGCCUUCUUUAAACUUGAUAGCUCUCUAAUCCUUUAAACAGAGGACUGUCCACUGUAAGGUAGGCCACACGACUUCCCCAGCCAUGCCUAAGUUGGUGGAGAGGCAACAAGAAAAGUCUCAAAAAAUAUUUUCACUGAUUUUAAUAUAUUAUUAUAUUGUAAUCUGCCCUGGGAUCUUAUGGUGAAGGGUGGUUAAGAAAUUCUAUGAACCAGCCAACCAAAGACCUGGGAAGGGGUGAUACAGAAUUGAUUCCUGAGUUUGAAUGAAUCAGCAAGAUUCAGCCGCUCCCUUUCCAUGUGUGAGAGGGAAAUAUUUUGCUUCUGUAUUGUGGCUGGGAGGGAAAGCAUUCCAUGCCUUCCAUGGGCAGUGGCCUGGAUGCUGAGACCAAGGCACAGCUCCAAGUCACUGGCUGCGAGCUCAUGUUCCAGGCCACCAGGAUCCUGCUGAGGCUCUGUGUUUUUAUUGCAGCUUCUCCCUCCUGCCUGGUGAACUCAACUAGCUCCUCUGCUUGCUCCCCUCAGAAGCUGGCUCGUGCUCUGCUGCCAUGUUGGCCAAGGUGUGGCUGAAGAAGAUGGAGCAGCUGUUGGUGGAUGGCCUGCAGCACAGAAAGAGCAUCCUGAGCAUGGAGUGGCUGCUGGACCUCCUGGUCAGCCUCUACAAAGAGUGCAGUUGCAACUCAUUGCUGAAGAGGGAAGACUCGUCUCUCCUUCAUCCAGUGGGAACGGACCUAUUGAUUAUUGACAGCAAUGUGGGUGAGUUCCUCAGCAACAGUGCCUGAGCAGGCUACCUGGAGUUCACCUUCCGACUGGUGUGAGAGCCUCACUAUCUCCAUCAUGGCCCACAACCUGAGGACCCCAGCUGGUGCAGCUGGGUUAACAACAGGCAUUAUGUGUAUUUUAUGUGUAUUUUAAUGAACUGAAUAAAGUUCAGUUCAGAUCAUGGGGGCAUGGAGAGUGAACUUAACAGUUAAUAUAAACUUAAAAGCUUCCUUUUUUUUUAGUUGCUAUUUUAUUAAUGUUGUUAAUAUUGUUUUAUGGAUUAUAAAUGCCCUACUGAUUUGUUAAUGAUAUAAUAUGACUUUGCUGUAAUUGUGGUGUAUUUUUUAGUUGCUGCUGUUAAUAGUGUUUUAUAGAUUGUAAUUGUUUUAUUGAUGAUUUGUUAAUUAUUUUAUAUGAUUUAUGCUGUAUUUGUGAUGUUCUAUUAUGUUAUUUUUAUUUAUUGUUUCUAAGUCACUUUGAGAUUCCUUUGAAUGAAAAGCGACAUAGAAAUACAAUAAAUCAAAUAAAAUAUUUGAAGUUGUUGAACAAUUUUUGAAAAAUAUGAUAGAAAUGCUGUUUUAAGAUCUGAAGGGCUAUCAUGUUUUGUGAUAAGGCCUACUUAAUGAAAUACUUCUUUUCAAAAGAGAAAGAUUUUGGGACACUGCCACCACAUGUGGAUAAAUAAGUAUUCAUUGUUGAAAGUUUUUAUGCCACUCUAUGUAUUUUCUGUCAUGCUGAAACUUAACAGUCUAAAAUAAGUGUAAUGAUCGGUAUCUGCUUUCUAAAAUUAAUAAACAUUUCCCUCCACACUUACUUGUGGUUUUUAAAACUCAGUUAUUGUACAUUGGGUUUUAAAAGUUAUAUGCUCAUAGCAUAUGAAAAAUACCAAGACUUAAGAAUAUAUUUACUUUACCACCAGUUGCUUAUUAACCUAGUCCUCUGGGCAAUGUGCAACAAUGCUACAAAAUUAAAACACAGAUCUGAUAAUAAAAUAAAAUAAAAUACAAUAAAAUAAAAUAAAUGAGGAAAAAAAUCCCCCUAUACAUCAUUGUGAAAUUCCAGCCUGAUAAUGUAAAUGCAUUUGUUUUGAAAAAUGCCAUUUCCUCAUAUGACACACCUUUUUUUUUAUUUUAGCUGAUACUUACGGAGUAACCCUAGUCCCCCAGAAGGAGCAGAUGGCAUGACAUGCUGUCUUUGCUGACUUCUGACUGGUGACAUCAGUGCUGCUUACUGGGAGGUAGAGGUGGAGGGGUGAGGUGGUAGCAAGGUCAGUGCAGUGCAAAUACAAUGGCUGAGUCAAUCCAGUACUCCCGGUGGGGCAUUUGUACUGUGCUGACCUCCUCAUCACCUUGUCUCUGCUCCUCUACCUCUGGGGAGCAGUGGCAACACAGGUGAGUGUGUCGUCACUUCUUGCCACCUGCAGGUGGCUUCCGAGUAGGGGCAGCUGGAUCAUGUACACCUCCCUCUCCACGCGUAGAGAAAAAGACCUCCACCCACAAGGCCUCCUUGCUGAUGUGGUGAGAAUCUCAGCUGCCACCACUCCUCUGUCAGAGGAUGGUGCUCCAGAGAUGGUAGGGUCUGAAAAGGAGCAUGUUCUUGGCAAAUUGGGGGAGGCCUUGAAUCUGUGGGAUCCAAAGAUCUCCCAUUCCCCUGCCAUGCUCUGGCAGGGAUACAAACUAUACUGGCCCUUGAGCUGACAUAGUUUUUUCCCAUUCCACUGAAACCAACAGGAUGUUUUUUGUUUGUUUUUUAAAGGUUCAAUUGAGAAAGAAAAGAACCAAAAAGGUAAAAAGCCACAUUUCUACCUGGGUCAGGGUAAGCCCAAGAGGGCUUAGGAAGUGACAGUUCCUCUGCCAUGGAGUCUUCCCACUAACAUCUCAGUAGGGUUGGCCUGUCAGUGUAAAACUCUAUGAUCCUAGGGAUUCUAGGGAGUAAACCCGCCUGGAUUCAGUGGUGCUUACUUCUAAGUAAACACGCUGAGGACUGCAUGCAAAAUAACCAGAUCUUUAUAAAUGACAGCGAUAGCAUUUAGGAUAGUGCAUAAUGAUGCUCAUUGUGAUUGUUGGUGUAUUCCCGGAACGCCAGAAUAUUUUGUAUUAAUUUAAAAAUUCAUCAAAAGUCCUCUCCAUGUCAAGGUGAUGCAGCAACCACCGACAAAAGAAGAAGGCCACAUUUCUGCCUUUUCUGCCAAUUAUUGCUUGUUGUCAUUGGGAAAUG